UUUUUUUUUUUUAAAUCAAGUUACAAAAGACUAUUUAUAUCCAUUUCUCUAAAAAAAGAAGAAGGGAUAUUUAUAAAAGAAUUAUCAUAGAAGAAUAAAAACAACCUAUUUUUGAAACAAUUAUCAUGAAAACAUUAUUGAUAUUUCUCAAAGGUGGGUGGAGAAAAGAUUUUAGUAAAAACAAAGAUUAUAAAUAUGUAGUUAUACGUGCUACUAAUUGCAGUUAUUAUUAUUAUAAAGCUUACUUAACAGGAUAAAAAUUUGAUUAAAUUAAAUUAAUAAUAUAAUUUCUUUAUAACAAGUACUUAACUUUAAAAGUAAUGAAAGAUAAUUUAACAUUCUUAACAAACAAGGACAAAUAGCUUCUUUUGUCCUUGAGUUAUUGUUUUAUUCCAAUUUUGAUCUUUAAAUUGUUUGGUUAAGCACAUAAUCAAUCUAAAUGUGUUUUUUUUUUCCUUUAAGCGCAGUAACUACAUAAUUAGAAAAUCUAGUACUACUUUAGAAGUAAAAGAAAAGUGAAGAAGAUGAAUAAAUAAACAGAAAGAUUGAUUAAUUAGGUUAACAUUGUUAAUGUUGAACCUAGUAAAUAUUUUUAUAAGUUAAAGAAAAUAAAGUUGGGAGAACAAAUUCAUUAGCCAACACCAUCCCGUUCCAAAAGCACGGAUUCUAUUGACUAUUUAACAACUAAGUAUUAUUUUAAAAGAACAAUAUCACAUACUUAGGUCAAUUGAAGAUUUAACGUGCAUAACCAAAUAACAUGAUGUUCAAAAUCGGAAUAAAUUUAGACUAAUUGAAGAUGUAAUAUGCAAGAGAACAUCAGUACUUAGAAUUUUCAUUCAGAAAUUUAAAGAUGAAUAUUUACACAUUGGUAAAAGUUGUCCAAAUAAUAAUAAUAAAAAAGGAACAUUACUAACUAAACCAAUCAACAUAUGACAGAAACAGCCCAUCUGCCCCAAAGGCCACACAUUGAACAGCUCUUCUAAACAUGAUGAGCCUUAUGCCCUUUUCACCUGCAGUUGCUAAAUUACUCAAUCAUAACUCACUUUCCUGUUUGAUUUCAUCCCUGACCAGUUUACUCUAGCAGUAGCAGGACUUCUCUUCAAUGCUUUUACAUUCAAUGGACUAUCCUUGCUCUGUCAAACAAAAUAAAUUUGAUGAAAAUCAUGAGAUGAGGGUUCGAGUUAUCGCAGAUAUUAAAUAACAAAAUGUUGCAUAAUUUCUUCUCAACUACUCAAUGAAAUUGUCUAGGUAAGCACAAGCUAACCUGAACAGUACUGUACUCUUUCUGUUUCAAAUUAUUUGUAGUUUUUUGCUUCUAGAAAUUCAAACUAUGUGAACUUCACAACUAUUAUUUGAAAAUGUAUGUUUUCAUUUGAAAGGAAAAAACAAACACCUAUUUUGGGACGGAGGGAGUAAGGUGAGUAGGAGGGAGGAAAAUCUUACCAUUUGACAAGUGCCUGCAUUAACAUCACAGACAGGAUAAUCAUGUGGACAGCAGCUGUUGUUGUCAUCACAGCAGGUAGCAGACUCAUAAGGACAACAUCCCCAGCCAAAACAGUAGUCGCCAUACUUAUAAAUGCAGCAGCAAGUAGUGCCCUCGGUGCAGCUAUAGUACUCAUCGCAAACGGUUGAUGGUGCUACAGGACUAGGAGGAGAUGGACCGGGAUUUGGAGGAUUUGCGCCAUUCUUAAGAGGGUAAGAGGGCUCCAUUGCAAUUCCACACUUUCCACUAGUGCUAUUAGCUAAAUUGCGCUCGAGCCUAAUGUAUCCACUUUCUCCCCAGUUAGGACCCCAUGAAUUCCUCACAAUCCAGUAAUCCGAACCAUUAUCUGUUCCGUAGCCAACUGCAACUACACCAUGGUCUAGUUGUGUUCCACAGUAUCCAGUGAAAACGCCCUUCAUGAUUUGAAAAGGAAAAAAAAAAGAAGUGUAAAUGAGUAUGGUAGUUUUAUUAAGUAGAAAAAACAAGGCAUUAGAAGCCGUGAUUGCAGAUUAGAGCCAAUGGGUUUAGGCACAGACAAUAUAUAUUUUCAGAAUUAGACAUCCAACCACAUACUAAAAGGGUACAUUAAGAGAAUUAUUCUCAUACCGAAGAGUAGUGCUGGAAAGCUCUGCCACCAGCUUCAAUAGCAACACUAACUGGUUGAUUUGACAAUGCCUUCAUCAAUGACUUCUCAUCAUUUAUGGGAACAUCUUCAUAUCCAUCAAUGGAGACAACCCGGGCAUUUUUCUGAAAGACCAAAAUAAUUUGUUAGCAGACCAUAGUAUAAGAAAACUUAUAUUGUAAAAAACGUGAGUAAUAUUUUGGAUGUUUUCUAGAAAGUAUGGUCUAACAUACCCUGUUUGAAUCACAAGUACCAUCUUGGGCACGGUAAGGAUAGUCAGCCUCAGUGUCAAUGCCACCGUUGUUUUUAAUGAAAUCAAAGGCAUAGUCCAUGAGACCGCCAUUACAACCCUGGUUAUAGCUCUUGUCACAAUCAACAAGCUCUUGUUCAGAGAGGGAAAUUAAUUCACCGGUUACAAUUUGAUUUAUUCCUUCAACAGCACCAACCGUCGAGAAUGCCCAGCAACUCCCUUCAUAAGAAAAAUAUACAACUUCAGUCAUACCACAGAUAUCUCACAUGCUCAAUCAACAUAUAUAUGAGUUUCGUCAUAAUCAAAGAAAGAUUAAACAGCAAUCAACUUGAAGAUUUGACAAAAUAGGUCAAACACAACAUAAAAAUCAAAACUUUUGACCUAAAUAAGACUCUUGUCAACACUCCAUUGAAAGUAAAAAUACAAAAAAACUCACCGCAUUGGCCUUGGUCUUUAACAGGGGCAACAGCGCCUUUCUGUCUCCAAUCAACGGAUUCCGGCAGCUCUUCGCCGGCCUUAAAAGCGUAACGUUCGCUUUUAGGGUUCUUCAACAGCCUCGUCUUUUUAUCGAACCGUCCACCCACGAACACGGCACGGUACUCAUCGUUGGUAAGAUCAGAAAAUCGAUUCAACCCAAGUUUAUACGGUCUGGUUUCAGCAUUUUGCUCGUCGAUGAAUCUUAAAUUAUCCUUAAAAAUUUCAAAUCUUUUUUCCUUUUCUCCAAUGGCAUUGUAAUUCUUUCCAUGCUUAACAAUCCAAGAUUCAUACAAUCCCUUAACUUCAUCGUCUGUACGAUGACUAGUUACCCCUAAAUCUGCAUGCUUUUCACCAUAACUGAUGAUGGACAUGUCAAGAGCAGAUGAAAGGACAAAAAAUGUAAGAAGAAAGAAGAACAAAGGCCUGAAAAAAGUCAUAUUUUUUCUCUUUUCUUUGUUUUAAUCUUCUUUCUUGUUUGUUGUUUGGGUUAUUGGAGAGAAUGGUGAGAAGUCUUUAUAGAUAGAAACAGAGUUUAUAUUGGAGGGGGGAAGAGAGGUAGAGAACAACUCAAAUAAGAAUAUUGUGACUAAUCGGUAAAAAUGAUUUUAAAUAUUGUGAUUAAUGCGUAAAAAUAAUUUUUAAUAUUGUGAUUAAUGGUGGAAUGGUAAAGAGAAAAUAUAUGAAUUUGAGGAUAUUUGGGGUGUGUGUCUAAAUACAUAGAAUCCAUCUCCGUUGAAAUAGGGAAAAUACAAGUUUCGUGCUAUCCGUGAAUUGUGUGAACCUUUUAAAUUAUGAAAAUCUUGACCAUUCUUAUUGUUGUUGAAUUGUAAUUUGUAAUUAUCCAAAAGUUAAUUACUUUUAUGAUAUUUUUCAUUUUAUAAGUAAGUACUUGUUUUGCUUUCAAAUUCAAAUCAGUUUUGCACGGUUUUCGAGUAGCUUAUACGAUUAUCUUUCCCUGUUUUCAAUUUCUUUGGUUAAUUGAUGAUUUUACACGUCCAACCUACUAUCGAGAAUUUAAAUUUAAUGAAUUAUAGGUAUAUGAUCUAAUAGAAAUAAAAAUAAUAAUAGUAUACUCAUUGUAAUUUUAUAAAAUAAAAAAAAAGAAUAUUGAGGGUGUAAAGACUUUGCCGUUGUUCCCUUUUCUUCUAGUGCACGUAUUCCUUUCAUAGUUGAACUGUCUCAACUCACUCUUUUUCCUUUUGUAUACUUAUUUUUUAAGUUCAUAUGCAUUUUUAGUAUGUUAUGAUCCUUUUUAUUCAAGAGUUUCCAGAAAAGUAUUUACCUUCCAUUCAAGUUAGUAGUAAAACAUAUGUAUGAUUAAUGUAAAACACAAGGUGCCAAUAGGUAUUUACCAAACAUUCAAUUACUUAACAUCUCUCUUUUUAUUGAAUUAUCCUGUUUGACACAACUUAAUGGAAUAAUAUAAUAAUAUUCUACACAAUUUUUUUUAAGGUUUAUUUAACGAUUAUAACAUUAAUGAUAUAAUUUGAUGCCACCAAUAAGCAUUUGGUAUGAUAUUUUUGCAACAAUCAUAGAACUGGUCUAUGGACUAUGCAUAAGAACUCCUGCAUACUGAUAAAAGUGUAAUUUGGUAUACAUAAUUUGAAAUUGAUGUAAACGCGAAGAUACAAUAUUUCUGUAGUGGUUUAGUUUCAGCAACAUAUGAAGAAAUUCCCAUCAGUUAGAGGUAAUUUUCGCGUUCCUCAAUUGUUCUAGUAAGGAAAUCAAACUGUUGUGAGAUGAUCCACCUUUCUCCACAGCCCUUUUAGCCAAUUCUCCUAAGGCAGCUGCACGGCCUCGCAUCUCCUCAGCUUCCUGACCAACCAUCACUUUGGUCACUGCUCUUUCUAUGUCUUUCCUGUUUAUUGGGACUGUGCUAUCUGUUCUAUUAGACCAAGCCUCAGAACCUACUGGAACUCCAAUCUUUAAUAUCUCUACUAGUAGCUUUUCAUUAAAAAAUUGCUCAGCUGAUAGCGGCCAUGUGAUCAUUGGCACUCCGGCACUUACUCCUUCGAGCAAUGAGUUCCAUCCACAGUGAGUCACAAAACCUCCAAUAGCUUCAUGAUCAAGGAUUAGCACCUGAGGUGCCCAUCCUUUUAUUAUCAAACCUCGUCCGUUCACGUUCAGCUUUUCCUCAAAUCCUUCUGGUAUCCACUCAUUCUGCUCUUCGUUGAUUGUAUUCUGCGUCACCGCCCAGAUAAACUGCUGGUUUGAUGCUUCGAGAGCUAUUGCUAUCUCAAGCAACUGAGCUGAUGAAAAGACUGCCAUACUGCCGAAACAUAUGUAAAUGACUGAUUUUGGUUCCUUAGUAUCGAGCCAAUCCAAACACUUUUGCUCACAAAAGGAACUGUCUUGCCCUCUUUGUGAUUUAUCUUCAUUGCAGAGCGAAAUAGGACCAACGUGCCAUACUUUUCUCCCUACUACUUCCCUGGAGUGUUUUACAUAAUUUGGUUCCAUCUCAUAAAAGCUGUUUACAAUAACUCCAUAACUAGUCGUUUCUGCUCGCAUAAUAGCUUUAACUAUUGCAGUCACUGGGGUAUCUUUUUCAUCCAUCAAGUGUUCUGAAAGCUUUUGUCUUGACAUCUUUAUUGUGUCAGGAAGGCCAGGGAUGACAAACUCUUCCAUCUCGGAUUCAACAUUCAAAUGAGGUUUGUGUUCCAUCAAACUAUGUAAAGCACAAAGAGGGAAAAAACCAGAGCCAUUAAAAGCUAGUGUUGGAAUUUCCAGCUUGGUUGCAACAUCAACAGCCCAUGAAAAUUGAGGGGCUGCUAUUAGACAAUCUGGAUGGUCUUCCUCAAGGAACUGUUCAAUUGGGUUUUGAAACAGCGAUAGGCCCAUGAUGAAAUUCAGAUACAUCAGUGUACUAGUAGUAGAAGCUAUGUUUUCACAGCCCUCCGGCAAUCCAGCUUCUUUGCAAGGAAACUUGACUGUACGGAUGCUAAUAUCACUGCCCAUCUCUCUGUCUCUUUGGAUUGUUUUGGAGAAUUUAGACGCGUUGAGAGGAGUCGUGAUAAUGGUUGCCUUCACUCCAUGUCUAGCAAAUUGCCUGGCUAUAUCUACUAGUGGUAUCAUGUGGCCAGGAGCCAUCAUAGGCAGAAAGUAUAUGUGAAGUUGAUCGCUUCUUUUAUCCAUGGUAGCCAGGGAAUAGAUAAGAAAAAACAGCUGAUGAACUAAAAAAGAACAGGAGAUAAAAGAAAGUAGAAGGUGUUGUAUAUCUAUUCGUCUUUGCUCGUCAUGGUUUUAUAGAUAAACAAGGAUUCUGAUUUUGCUAAUGACUUCAUGGGGAGCAUUACUUUUCUAUGGUAUAUAAGGUGCCAUUGCUGACUUUUUGUACUUUGAAAAAUUCUAAUUUGAGUUCAAGACAAGUUAACUAGACCUGUUGUUAUCAUUGCUGACUCUUUCCUACAAUUAAAUAUGAGUGAUGUGCAAGAAAAGUAAAAAUUCUGUAGUUUAUAUGAUUUUUUUAUGUCUAGAUGGGAUUGAUCUUUGGCUUAGAGUGAUGGGUUUGAAUUGUUUAUUAAAACUUGGACAGAUGUAUAGUUGACUUGUUGCACAGACUUGAUUGGAUCAAAUUAGACAUUGUAAAAUAAUUGUACCAAACACACCAUUACACUGACUCACUCCAUGGACAAAAUCUUAAUGGGAGCAUCACUACCAAAUAAACUUUGUAGUGCGUGGUCCAGAUUUAGACGGGUUCCAAUGCAUGCUCUAGAUACUGGGUAAAAAAAAAACUCGCUCCAUGCACCAAACUGUUUUAAUUUAUCAUUAAGUAAAAUGAAAAAUAAUAAUUAUUAUAUAUAUAUAUCAUUUAACUAUAAGUAAGUGUCAGUUUUAUAUGAAGGCUUAAAAAUUCUUUAACCACUCAUCAAGACUAGCAAACAAGAAGUUUAUUGUAGUCUCACUGGGUAAGACUUUUGAAGAUGACAGUUUUGGACAGGAGAAUUGGUUUCGUAGUUCAUUUAUAAUAUUUAUUUUUCUAGUUUUAUUAUGUUUUUUUACAAGAAAAAAAUAUUAUUUUUACAUAUAAAAUCUAAAAAAAGUUAUUUUCUUAUAUUUAUUUGUAAAUGGACAGGAGAUCUUUGUGUUUGACAUGUGCCAUGGCCCAUUCACUUGGAUGCGUGGCUAAGCUAGAGAUCCAGAACUUGGCCCAUAGUUCCAUUGGCCUAGUCUGCAAUCUACCCAACAUUGGUGUAGAAUUUGUUCGCUUAAGUUGGGCCAAGAUGCACACCGAACCAGCCAUUCUUCUGCGAGCUCAGGUACCAAAUUCUUAUGAGAAGUCGUUGGCCCUUUUCCCUCCUAUUAUGAUUUGAGCAACUUUCACAUAUAGCAAACAUAAAAAUCAUAUUUGUAUGUUAUAGCUAUAGUUUGCAUAAUUGCGCUUCAUAGCAAAUUUUAUGUUUACUAUGGAGCUUUUGAUUUGUAUAAUUCGCUAGAUACAUUCAAUUUUAUACAAAUUAUUCAGUUUUGUAUAAAUUCAUUUAUACAUUGUAAUUUGUAUAAUAAGAUCUGUAUUUGUAUAAUUAUAAGUGUAUAUGACGAAAAUAUAUGCAUUUGUAUAUGCACUUUUCUCUCGCUUUACACAAAUACAAACGCUUUUUAUACAUUUGUAUAUCGAAUGGAUAAUUGUAUACCGAAAAUGACUAAGUGUAUACAGAACCAGAUGACAAAAAAAUGGGAUGUUUGCUGCAAAUUAUAAAUAAAAUAAACUAUGGUUAUAACAUUUAAUUUGAAUUAAUAGUUUGUUAUUUCAUACAAUUUUUCCAUUAUGAUUUAAAAAGAGAAACUUUCACAUAUAGCCACUCAAAAAUAGCCUAAUUACUCUCCAUAGCUAUAGUUUGAUAAUUACAAUUUGUAACUACAUGUUAAAGGGAGGAGAGAGGCUAGUGAGACUGGGAGAGAGAGGAGAGAGGCGAGCGAGANNNNNNNNNNNNNNNNNNNNNNNNNNNNNNNNNNNNNNNNNNNNNNNNNNNNNNNNNNNNNNNNNNNNNNNNNNNNNNNNNNNNNNNNNNNNNNNNNNNNNNNNNNNNNNNNNNNNNNNNNNNNNNNNNNNNNNNNNNNNNNNNNNNNNNNNNNNNNNNNNNNNNNNNNNNNNNNNNNNNNNNNNNNNNNNNNNNNNNNNNNNNNNNNNNNNNNNNNNNNNNNNNNNNNNNNNNNNNNNNNNNNNNNNNNNNNNNNNNNNNNNNNNNNNNNNNNNNNNNNNNNNNNNNNNNNNNNNNNNNNNNNNNNNNNNNNNNNNNNNNNNNNNNNNNNNNNNNNNUAAUAGAGAGGUGAAUUGUAUAUGUAUAUUGGUUAGAUAAUUGUAUAUUAUACAUAUGUAUUUAUAUAUAUGACAAGCGAGAUUGGGAGAGGGAAGAGAGAGGCAAGCGAGAGAGGGCAGCGAGUGCGAGAGAAGUGAAUUGUAUAUGUAUAUUGGUUAGAUAAUUGUAUAUUAUACAUAUGCAUUUGUAUAUAUGGCAAGCGAGAUUGGGAGAUGGAGGACACAGACGAGCAAGAUUGUGAGAGGGAGGAGAGGGCGAGCGAAUACGAGAGAGGUGAAUUGUAUAUGUAUAUCGGUUAGAUAAUUGUAUAUUAUACAUAUGCAUUUGUAUAUAUGGCAAGCGAGAUUGGGAGAGGGAGGAAACAGGCGAGCGAGUGCGAGAGAGGUGAAUUGUAUAUGUAUAUCGGUUAGAUAAUUGUAUAUUAUACAUAUGCAUUUGUAUAUAUGGCAAGCGAGAUUGGGAGACGGAGGAGACAGGCGAGCGAGAUUGAGAGAGGGAAGAGACAGGCGAGCGAGAUUGGGAGAGGGAAGAGACAGGCGAGCGAAAUUGGGAGAGGGAUGAGACAGGGGAGCGAGUGUGAGAGAGGUGAAUUAUAUAUGUUUAUCGAUUAGAUAAUUAUAUAUUAUACAUAUGCAUUUGUAUAUAUGGCAAGCAAGAUUGAGAAAGGAGGAGAGAGGCGAGCGAGAGUGGGAGAGAGAUGAAUUGUAUAUGUAUAUCAGUUAGUUAAUUGUAUAUUAUAAAAAUGUAUUUGUAUAUUAUGGCGAAUAAAACAUAUACAAACGUGACUAAUUAUACAAAUUCAAAGUCAGCCCACGUAAUUAAUGUGUAAUCACUACAAAAAAUGAAAUCAACUGGAUAUAAGAAAUUAAGUAUUCCAGUCUACAAGGAGCUAAGUCAUCCGAAUGACGUCGGCAGGAAGUCAAGGCUAUCCAGCCCACACGGAUCAUAAGUCUAAGGCAAUGCUAGCCUAACCUAAACUAAGGACAUCAUGCUUACGGUUAAAGAUGAACAAGCAUACAACACUUAGCAUACAAGCGUACAAUAGCAUUUAGCAUAUAAGCAUGCAACUCUACUAAAUCGGUUAACAAUGAUACUAUACCCAAAAUAUGGUCAAUCGAUCCUAACAUGAGGUAUCUAAUCAAAAUACGGUAGGAAACUAGUACCCACCACCAAUUCACUCCAAUCGACAUGCUUUUACACAAUUAAGCUCAAUCUUAAAAGACAGGAAGUCGUAGCCUACCUUAAGGCCGAUCACGCGCUCUCCAAAUCACUUUUCUGGAGCUUUCACUAUUCGAACGGCCUCGAAACGCUGCCCCGCUAUCAAAAAUAGAGUCACAACGUUAGUACGGUUGUUUAGACACCAAAAUCACCACAAAUGGAGAUGUGUUAAUUUUGGAUUCAAAAUGAGAAUCGUGGGACCCGCACCGAACUGUGCGAAUUUGACUUCGUCAAGAGACCCUAAAUGGCACCCCAAACUUGUGUUCCAUUUUGGAACACAAUUCGGGGUUCAAAACACAGCAAAAACCAACAAGCAAGAAAACCACACUUUAAUCAACUAAAAGAAAACCUACAACAGUCUAAACUCGAAAUCUACAAGGAUCUAAUGGUGCCCAGCACUCCUUGAACACUCUACGAUGAAGUCACGACAUUUCUCAACACGAGGGACUUCGAAUCACCCAAAACUGAGCUAAAAUGAAAGAGAUAUGACCAAAACAAGAAUACAAAAAACAAAGGCUAAAAAAAGGUACUGCAGUCAGGUUAAUCGCAAAAUUACCUCGAACUGCACCUACCCAAUAACUUUCGAACACUCUACGGCAAAGCCACCAAAAAUACGAAGCUCCCACACUUCGAAUCGCCUAAUUCGGAUAAAAGAUGAGAGAGUUAUGAGGGUUUUAAGGUUUGGAAAAUGUUGCUGUUUUUCUCCAUUUAUAGCAGAUUUUCUGCAAUUUUCUAAAAACUAAAAACUCCAACGGGGUGCUCCGCAUUCGUUCAGAACCUCGUGCACACAAACGAGAUAUGCAACCAUACCAAAUUCGAUAUUCCGGACUCAAUGACGCAGUCAAAAUUUCCAUACGACGUCAUCUUGAUAAAAAGUGGGUCCCACACCCAAAUGUCAUUUUAAGUCAAAAAUCACAAAAGGGCUCGAAAAAAUAUCGAAAACCUUGGGACACAAAAGAAGGGUCAAUUUAGACCAAACUCAACAUUCCGGAGCUAACCGCACUGACGGAAUUCUCAUCCGAGCACGUUUACUCAGAAUGUUGAAUAAAGUCAAAACUUAGGCUUAAACUUAAAGUUAAAACGCCUAAUCGCACCAACUCACACUGAAAUCUCGGGAGUCAAGCCGACCAUGCUAUUAGCCUAAAAUGACCCUUCCGGAGACUGAUGGAAUCGUCAGAAUUGGAUUCCGAUAUCAUCUCUUGAACUUUUAAUCGACAAUGAUCGUUCAAGGUUCAUAAGCUCUAAAACACAAAAACUCGCACUAAGACCAAACGAACGACCAGGUGACGAACUGUCAGUCCCAGCAAGUCAUAAAUGACUUGGGGUCGCUACAGGAACGCUCUAAGCGACACACAGAAGGCAAGACACAGAAAUGACCAGGAGGGUCAUUACAACUCAUCAGUCAUGACCCGAGUCUACACCCUAGACGUGGCCGGCACUCAAGAACAAUUACUGGUCCCCAAGCGAACCCUCAUCCUGGUUGACUGCAAGCGGAAGACUAACUUAAGCAUGCAAAAGCUUAAAACUGAAAUAAAAUUCAAUCAAAAUCAAGUUUACAAAACUUUAACUCAAAUGAACAACUUAGAAUAAAAUAAUAUAUUCAAUUCGCCAUAAAAUAGGCAACUUAAGUCUUUAAAACAUUUAAUAAAAUAAAUGGAUAAAUAAUACAGAAUUCUCAACUAUACUGACUAUAUAUGAAUCAUCUACCUGAUAAAGAUGGAAGUCGGGACAAGACCCACGACAUCCUGACUAAACUGAAAAAUGAAUGAAAUCCUCCGAAAACAAGGAGGCUCACCAUAGCUAACUCGAACUUCCGAAUGUAUCAACGAAGCUCAUGUUGAUCACCCUGAAUACCUGUGUCUGCAUCAUGAGAAGAUGCAGGCCAAAUGGCUCAGUACGUGGAAUGUACGAGCAUGUAAGAGGAAUUCUAAAGCAUAAACAUAAUCUUGAAACUUGAUAAAAAGGAAACAUACUUACCUCUUCUCAAACUUACUCAACUCAAGAUAUACUCAAGGAUACUCAAAACUACUCAAACUUACUCGACUCAGAAUUUCUCAAGGAUAAGAUACUUUACUCAAAGAUAUGAUACUCAACUCAAAGAUAUGAUAUUCGACUCUGGGUACUCAACUCUGGAUACUCAACUCAAUAUGACUGAACUCAUUUCAAUAUAAAGCAAUUUAAAACAAGUGCAAUAUAAAGAAACAAACGGUUUAAAACAUGGUUUUUCAACUCUGUGUAUUUCUAAAUACAGUGAUAACUCUAUAUGUAUGAAACGAUACAAUAUGAACUCUGAGAUGUAUGUAAAAAUACAAAAUAAACUGAUGUACAUAAAAUACAAUAACUUCUGUGGGAGUUUCUCUAACCGACAACAAUCACAUAAGAGCUAUUGUGAUGAUACAUCGAUCUUCCUCACGCUACCAGCGCAUCCUAUACCCGGUCAAAGGUAUAGGACCUGAACUAUUAAGUGGAUUCACUAGUCUAUUGUGAAAAAGAUUCAUCUAAAAAGUAUGACCAUUUUCUACCCAUGGUUUAUGGGGGUUGUGAGUUGUCUGAACUCUCACCCAUAUCGGUGCUCAAUAUUACUCCCAAAAAUAUACUAGCUCUUAUGUUUUAAAAACAUACUUCUUUCUGCUGAUUUAAGAUAAUUGCUCAAAAACUUAGCUCAAAGGCUAUCUUGGAAAUCUCAGUUUCCUCUUUUGCUUCAUUUAGAAAGCAAUUACUCUUUUCUGAAAACUUUCCUGAAGGGCCUUUGGAAAUCUCAGUUUCCGUUCUUAUUUAAAUAUGAAAACAUUUAUAAACUCUUUGGGAAUACUUAGUCCCCAUAUACUUUUGAAGAAAAAGACUUCAAACUUUACUCUUUACUCUUUACUGAACUCAAAACUUUAAGUCUUAAAACAAAGUUUAAACAUUUGUAAAAAUACUUCUUAAGAUAUGGUUCAUGCCGAAUUAUGGAUAUGAACGACUCAAUGCAAGGUUUUCAAUAACCAUAGAUAGAACUUAAUACUUGGAACUCAAGAACUUCAAUGAUACUACUCAUUUCAAGAUUUUUUGACUUAUAGUGUUCAUACAGAAUUAUGGGCAUGAAAUAUUCAACUCAAGUACUCAAAGAUGCUUCUCAAAAGGGAUUAGGAACUCAACACUUAAAGGCUUAGAACUUAAAGAUACCACUUCUCUGAAAGAUGCUCAACUUACGAAGUUCAUGCGAAAUUAUGGCAUGAAACAACUCGACUCGAUGAUCUACAUAACUAUAUGGAACUCAUGUAUACGACUCUUCUUAUUCUCUAACUUACUUCCUCAAAACUUAGUUCAAAUCGAUACUUGAUCUCAAAGGAUUCACAAUUGAACUCAAAGGCUUUCUUGAACUCUAAUUUUAACUCUCUCUUGAAUGUGAAUUAUGAAUUCAAGGUUAUUAUCAUGUUAGGAAUGAUUUUAGGUGUUUAGAAGUAGCUUAGAGUAGUUAGAAUCGAAAAUGAGUGAAGGUGCACUUUAAACAAACUCAAACGGGGCAACCGACGACAAACUGGAUGGGGCAGGCGACCCUGGCGCUAUGGGUGGCGUGGGGUGCCAGCCCCUAAACUUCAGAGGAGGGUUUGGGGCGCUCUGCCAGGCGCAUCGCGCCAAGCCCCAACCCAGAAAACUUCGAUGACUUUGUUUGCUCGUUUUCUCACCCUAACUCGCCUAGAAUCGAACGGUUUCUUCCCCAAUUACUUAACAUAAGUACACUCUAAUCUACUCAAUACAUCCCUUAAAACACUCACUUUGAUCUCAAGAAAUCAUCCAAAAUCCAACACAACAAGAUUUAGAAUGAACUUCAAGAACUCUAAUCUUCCAACUUCAAGAAUGAAAUUUCGCUGAAAAUAAUAUGAUUGGCGUGUGGGUGAACAAACCCAACUCUAGAGAAGCUUACAUACCUCUUAGGGAUUAAACCCAUGGCAAAAAUCCGUCUUCUUUUCUCUUCUUGAACUCCCACCUAAAACCCUAGGCUAAUUUUAGGAUUAUAAAACUGAACGCAACAAAACGCAAGACUCUCGACGAAUGCUUUGAUCAUCUCCUAUUUUCUCCUUUUUUUCUCUUCUUUUCUCUUCUUGAACUCCCACCUAAACCCUAGGCUAAUUUUAGGAUUAUAAAACUGAACCUAAUAGUAUUAGACCCUUAAAACCUUACUAAAAAAUAAAUUAAAUCUGAUUGGGUAAGGAAAAGACCAAAAUACCCCUUACUAUUUUCGGCUAACUUUCCUUAACUGGACAACCUAACUUCAAAAUGUCAUAUCUCACUCAUCCGAACUCGAAACUUAGCAAACUUGGUGGCGUUGGAAAGAUAAUUCAAAGAUAUUUCCUACGGUAUCUUGUAGCACACCUAAAUCAUCAAGUGCUAGGAGUUAUGAUCGUUUGAAGUCGACCCAAAACUCAUACUUAGCUUAACUUGCAAAAUUUCAGAUUUUGCUAUUUCCAAUUUAGUUCUUUUUGGAACUCGAGGUGCUAUAUCUAGUGGCCUUAAAACUUAUGAAAUUUUAAAUUCCUUAAUAAAAUCCUACUCACAACGAAGGACGGUUCGAGUCUUAGCUCAAAUUUUUUUCUGGGGUGUUACAGGAGCCAUCAUAGGCAGAAAGUAUAUGUGAAGUUGAUCACUUCUUUUAUCCAUGGUAGCCAGGGAAUAGAUAAGAAAAAACAGUUGAUGAACUAAAAAAGAACAGGAGAUAAAAGAAAGUAGAAGGUGUUGUAUAUCUAUUCGUCUUUGCUCGUCAUGGUUUUAUAGAUAAACAAGGAUUCUGAUUUUGCUAAUGACUUCAUGGGAGCAUUACUUUUCUAUGGUAGAUAAGGUGCCAUUGCUGACUUUUUGUACUUUGAAAAUUCAAAUUUGAGUUCAAGACAAGUAAACUAGACCUGUUGUUAUCAUAUUUUUAUGUCUAGGAUUUGUUUCUCUAUGUUUUCGUCAAAAAAAAAAUACAAACUUCUAAACUCUCAAGGAAAUCAAACUAUACCUGUUUGGCCAUAGAUUUCCCAAGUAAUAUUUGGAGAAAAAGUUGGCAAAUAGUGUUUGUCCAUACAAUUUUUCAUUAUUUGGCAAAUAAUAUUAGCAAAUAUCCAAAUACUAGCCUUUUCUAGUAUUUGGGCCAAAUCUCAUUAUUUGGGAUCUUUUGAAUAUUGAAAUUUUACACCAAACUUUUAUUUUUUACAAAAACACCCUCUAUAGUAGUUGUUUGCAUUGUAUUACAUUUUUUUUUUACGUGAAUACCAAAGUAUUCAAUGAAUAUGAAAGUAAUGAUAUAGUUGUUGAUGAAAAUGAUGAACAAUCGACUCAAGAUAAUAAAGUCAUGUGCUUUGUCUACUUCACGAUGUAUGGAAUGAUGCUUGUUACACUCACUCCAAACUACCACAUUGCUCCAGUGUCAUAGACACUACUUGUCAUUUGUUGCAACGAAGAUCCAAUUGACUUGUAAUACAAACUUAUGGUUAGUUUUGAUCGUUUUUAAAACUUAUGGGUAUAAAUCAUAUUUUUCUACAAAAGUGAAAUAUGUUUUCCAAAUAUUAUGGCCAAACACACCCAAAUUUUCACCCAAAUAAUAUUUGUCAAUCUAUGGCCAAACGCUAGCAUUAUAUAGCAAAGAAAGUCCAAAUUGUCUUAACACAUAAAUGAUGUAACAAUAAUACAUUUAAACAAAUUCCCAUGAGUUGGAGUUGCUCUUCCCCAUCCUCAAUUCUUCUAGUAAGGAAAUCAAGCUAUUGUCAGAUGAUCCGCCUUUCUCUACAGCCAUUUUAGCCGAAUUUCCUAAAGCAUCGGCACGGCCUCGCAUCUCCUCUGCUUCCGGACCAACCAUUAGUUUGGUCACUGCUCUUUGUAUGUUUUCCCUGUUAAUUGGGACUCUGCUGUCUGUUCUUUGAGACCAAGCCUGAACACCUACUGGUACUCCUAUCUUUAAUAUCUCUACUAGUAGCUUUUCAUUAAAAAAUUGCUCAACUGAUAGCGGCCAUGUGACCAUUGGCACUCCGGCACUUACUCCUUCGAGCAAUGAGUUCCAUCCACAAUGAGUCACGAAACCUCCAGUAGCUUCAUGAUCAAGGAUAAGCACCUGAGGUGCCCAUCCUUUUAUUAUCAAACCUCGUCCGUUCAGCUUUUCUUCAAAUCCUUCUGGCAUCCACUCUUCAUUUGUUGUAUUUUGCCUCACCACCCAUAUAAAUUGUUGGUCUGAUGCUUCGAGAGCGGUUGCUAUCUCAAACAACUGAUCUGAUGAAAAGAUGGACAUGCUUCCGAAACAUAUAUAAAUGACUGAUUUUGGUUCCUUGGUAUUGAGCCAAUCCAAACACUUUUGCUCAGAAAGGGAACUGUCUUGGCCUCUUUGUGAUUUAUCUUCAUUGUCUUUAUUGCAGAGCGAAACAGGACCAACGUUCCACACUUUUCUCCCUACUACUUCCCUGAAGUAUUGAACAUAAUUUGGUUCUAGCUCAUAAAAGCUGUUUACAAUAGCUCCAUAACUAGUCGUUUCUGCUCGCAUAAAAUCUUUAACUAUUGGAGUCAUUGGGGUUUCUUUUUCAUCCUUCAAGUGUUCUGAAAGCUUUUGUCUUGACAUCUUUAUUGUGUCAGGAAGGCCAGGGAUGAUAAACUCUUCCGUCUCGGAUUCAACCUUCAAAUGAGGUUUGUGUUCCAUCAAACAGUGAUAAGCACACAUGGGAAGUAAACCAGUGCCAUUAAAAGCUAGUCUUGGAAUUCCCAACUUGGUUGCAACAUCAACAGCCCAUGGGAAUAAAGUUCCUGCUAUUAGACAAUCUGGAUGAUCUUCCUCCAUGAACUUUUCAACUGGCUGUUGAAACAAGUACAAGGCUUUGAUGAAUUUUAGACUCAUUUCUGAACUAGUAGUAGAAGCUAAGUUUUCACAGCCCUCUGGCAAUCCAGCUUCUUUACAAGGGAAUUCAGUUGUCCGGAUGAUAAUAUCACUGCCAAGCUCUCUGUCUUUUUGGAUUGUUUUUGAGAAUUUAGUCGCGUUGAGAGGAGUCGUGAUGAUUGUUGCCUUCACACCAUGCCUGGAAAAUUGCCUGGCCAUGUCUACAAUUAAAUAUGAGUGAUCUGCAAGAAAAGUAAAAUUUCUAAAGUUUAUAUGAUUUUUUUUAUGUCUAGAUGGGAUUGAUUGGCUUAUUUUUCUAGUCGUCAUGUGCAAUUAGUUUCCAAUGUUUUCUUCUUUCUGUCUGGCUGAGGUUUUAUAGAGUACUGUUAGGUUUGAAUUGUUUAAUAUAGUUGACUUGUUGCACAGACUUGAUUGGAUCAAAUUAGACAUUGUAAAAUCAUUUUACCAAACACACCAUUUCCACUCGCAGAAAAUCACGUUGGGAGCGCCAUCCUAAAUGGCCUCUACAAUACGCAAUUCGAAUUUAGUUGAAGCUCCAAUGCAAGCUCCAGACAUCGAACGAUUUUUUUUUAUAAAAAAACUCGUUCCCUCCAUGCACCAAACUAUUUUAAUUUAUCAUAAUUAAGUAUAUAUAUAUACUGGGGGUUUACACAAAUCAUGAUUAUGCUGAAGUAAUAGAAUUUUUUAUAACACGAUGGAAAUUGGAAAAGUUUGAGGGGUUGACAGGUGAGGCGAGGCGUGCACAAGAUUUUUGGAAGAGGCUCCUCUCCAGUGAUGAUCUCUCCAGUUCUCCCCAGUGCUAUUUCAUAUAAUUGACACGUGUCCAUUUAAUUUUUAAUGGACCAGAUUAAUUUUCUUGACCAAAUAUCAUUAACCAUGGUUAUUAGUAAUUCUCUCUCCUUUCAUUCCUUUCUCAACCACCAAAGAAACACUUCUUCCCCCUCCAAAAACUCUCCGAAAAACAGAGCAAUCAAACAAUUGAAAAUUAAAAUUACAUCAAUAUUUUAAUGUUUUACACUUACAUAUGAACAACUAGGGAGAGUCUCAAAAAGAGAAAGACUGAAAUGGAGUGAUUAGACCCCAAUUAAAGAUUACAGUUAUAAAUACCACGAGAAAAGAAGACCCAAAAAAUAAAUGGAAAAUUUCACCAGGAAAAAAAAAGUUUAUGAAAAAAUAUUUUCCUACCCAUUUUUCGUGCCCUUUCCAGAUCCUUUAGUUGGCUUUUGCAGAAACUCCAAAUUGAAAAAAUUAAUGUUACGAAGAAGACAACAAAGUUUUGUGGAUAUGGAUAAUGCCACAUCCUUCAAAUGGAGUAUAUGGGCGAAUGUCAUCGUCUAUUUUUUCCUUGCCCUUAUCACUGGAUCCAAAGGUAUUCACAUAAGGAGACUGCAAAAAUCUUUGAAGGCAUUCUGUUACGUGGAGCUGGAGUCUUUGUAUCAAAAUUGUGUGCAGACUCCUUGACUGGAAGUUGGGUGGGUAGCUGGCUGUCAGAUAGAAAAUCACUAUUGUUGGUUAGCUGUAGAGGAAUGAUUACACUCAGUGGUGCGACAUUAAUUGGCUCGUUUGGAAGUUUGUAGACAAUUGCAUCUAUGACUGCUUCAGUGCUAGAUGAAAUAGAAGCCGAUGUGGUAGAAUCCUACAUGAUAUCAGGGAAUUAUAACAAAAUAUUACAAUUUACAUACGCAACUGUUGACAUUUUUCAGUAAACAAUUUAGAAUCAGACCGAUGUAUCAACAAUUAUUGGAUUUGAAGCAUGUUUUUCGAAGUCUUGUUGAAUUGUAUUAGCAACAUCUUCAUCACCGCUUAAUACUUUUGUGUGUAAUUGGGGGUCUUCAUUUCCUGCAUCCUCCUAAUAAACAGAAUAUUACACAACAUUUUGAUUUUUUUUCAAAAAUAAUUGAUUAUAACAAUUCAAAAACUCUUUACUUACCAGUUCUUUAUUAUGAACAAUCUCUUCUAUCGGAACAUGACUAUGGUGUGCUGUGGGUAUAACAUCUGUUGAAUCUCUCAUUGCAUGUUCCUUAAUGGAUGUCUCAUCAUUCUGUGUUUGUAUAUUAGUAUAUAAGGAAAUAUAUCAUAAAGUAUUUGUUAAUGGUGAUUCAUAAAAAAAAUAUAGUAUCAACUAAGAUUUUAGUGAAUAAUAUACAGUCAAUGAUACACAAAAAGGCAACGUUUAUUUCAUUAUAUGAAUUAAAAUUACUAAAGUAUCAAUCUUAUUAAAUGAUACAUUGUUAAUAAUUUUAAUCGAAUUAACUAAUGAUUAAAAGACAUUAAGUUAUAUAAUUAAAUUGAAGUAUCAAAUACAUACCUUUGCAACAUUUUCUUCGAUAACAUGUCGUUUUUCAACCUCCACAGCAGAUGCAUCAACAUCAUGAUCAACAGUUGCAAAAUCCAUUUGUAUGGGUGAAAUGGUUUGUUGGAAGAAUUGAUCAGAAGUGGAUUGUGGAUCAACAUUACCUUUGUCUACUGAAUCAUCCACUAUAUGUGGCAUAGAAAUGCCACCAUUGUCCUUCAUGUUCCAAAAAAUCAGUAUAACACAAAACUGAAAAGGGAAGCUAAAAAAUAAAAAUACUACCUUAUCACUUUUGUUAUCUUUCGCGCCAACUGCUUUCAUCAACUCAGAAUGAUUUUUUAUUAAUUAACGCCUCAAGAGCUCCAAUUUUUUUGUCAACUUAGAUUCAAAUUAAGCAUAUUAAGUGGAAUUAACAAUAAACAUGAAAAUGUUUAAAUGACAUAAUUAUGUUUACUUACAUUAGACUUCAUGUGACCCUUCAGUUCCUCAAGUCCUGCAUUGUCCGAAAUUGUUCUUCGAAAACUGUAUUAUGAGGAACACCAGAUACAUUAUCGACUUGUGGUGGUUGUGAAUCCGGAGUUUGAAAUGGCUGAUUCGGUUGCUCAUCUGGUUGUGUGGCUUUGGGCACAUUAUUUUUUGUUGGAUGUGCAACCUUUCUUCUCUUGGGGGGGUGGGGUGGAUCCUUGGUAGAAAUUCAUAUGGAUCUCCUUAACAGUUGCUCCGGAGGUUUUGAUGAAAACUCUUCAAAUCCAGGAACCUCAUCUGGUUGCACCUUCUCAUGAUUAACAUUUGAUGUGGAUGGUUGAGUUGGAGGUACAUAACUGUUAUUUGGUAAAUCAAGUGAUCUGAUUUCCUCUUGAGUUGACUGAACGUUAGAACAAUCAUUCUAUAGAAACAAAAAAUAAAACAUCAUGAGAACCAGUUAAAUAAUGUAUCGCAAAUAAAAAAAUAAAGUAAAAAAGGUUGUUAUGUACUAAUUACCUCAGUCAAGAUGUUUUCCAUAAACAUCUUAAAUUUAGGCUUUGAACCCACAACUUUCCAAUUGCAUACCCUUAGUAUACCAUUUCCUUCUUUAACAGCUAUCUCGUUAUGUAUUACAGAUGCACAUUCAUUUACCCAGAUAUUAAGUGCGUAUGGAAAUCCAUUCAAGCGAUACAUUUGUUUGUUAGGUUUGUACUCUUUCCUAAAUGAUUUCAUUAACUUUGUGAAGGCAAGUUGUCCCCACGGAAACUGUUGAUAGCUGUCAUAUUCUAUCAUUAAGAAAUCUUCAAUAGGAAUUGGUGCAUCACCAAGUUGUGAGAAUACAAAGGUAUGAAUGAAAUACAAUAUAGUCAUCUGAAGGGCAAUCAUCAGUGUUGUCCCAACCACCCAUAUCAAAACGAUCUACCAGUUAUUCUUUGUUUACAUUAUAAUUUGGACCAGGAAAGUGUUAGGGUUUUGCCCUGAUUUUCUUAUCAUAAUUUAAAGAUUUAUUUUUCCUUAAAGAAAAACAAAACAUUACCAUAAAUGUUUUUACUUUUCUUGAAAGGAAAAUAUAAUAUUAUUUUAUAUUUGGUUUAUUCUCUCCUUUUAGGACUCCUUUUCUAGUAGGAACGGUUUUAGGACUCUAUAAAUAUAAGUUUGUUUCUUCUAACACAAUAACAAUAACAUCCACAAUGUAGUCGUUUAAGAGUCUUGUUUAUGGGGAGAUUUAUUCUCUCUAAAGUUUCAAUGUUUUUCUUUAUAUUAGUUUUGAUAUAAUAAUAUUUUGAUUUUUAGUAUAAGUUUUUUGUUAGCUGAUUUAUCAACUAUAUGAUUUGCAAAUUGUAAACUUCCGCAUAACGCCCUAAUCACCCUUCAGAACCCAACAGAAAGUAUCUUUUAACCAGCCUACUAGUUUUUGAAUCCGAAUAUGUAAAACCUUUAAUAUUUUCGGUACACUUCAGACCAGUAAUAAUAGCAAAUUCUCUGAUACUAAAUUGCAAUACAUUUCCUUUGGCAUGACGAAUAUGUAUUUCUUUGUCUAAAUUGUCAUGCUCAACCUCUAGAAGAUAUAAACACUUGGUAAUUUGUCCUUGGUAGUGGCACUUGGGGAUAUUAAGGUAUUGGCCAAAUAUAGUAACCUUAAAUAAUUUCAUACCUUCAUCGUUUAUUGACAAUACUAAGUUUUCAUUAAAAUUUGAGUUGUAAAUAGGACCAAACUUUAGGGGUUGCUUUGGAAUAUGUUUAAUUACAUAUUUCAUAUUCUGCAAUUUCAUAAACAUAAAUGAUGUUGAUCAAUCACUAAACCGAUAAAUGAUGCAUACAGAACUAAAAGGGAAAGGCCAUAUAUUGAUUCAAAAUAUUAUGUUUAAGAUCAUUUUAUACUACAUAAUAACAAUACAUGACUAAUACACAAAAUCAUAUAACUUCUGUAUAUACACCGACUUAUAUUUAAAUAUGAUACAAAAUGUUAACUACCAGAUCUAUUAUAUUAUGUUUACGUAUCAUUCAUGUGAAUAUCUAUGAAUAUGAUACAUUGUACAACAAACAACCUACAUAUCAUACUGUGAAUUGAACGCCUAUCUUAGAUACAGUUCUCAACACAAAAAAAUUGACAAAAAAUAGUCUUUCAUCUACAAAUGUAAAAGUUAUACUCAAUACCAACAUUUGAUAAAACAAUCAGUGUUUCUGGGUAACAACUCCAGAUUUCAAUAUAUACAAUAAAACUUUAUUGUUCAACAAUGUCUAAAUUAAAAGCAAAAGAAAUGCAUACCAUGGGUAGUGUUGGUCGAGAAAUGGGUGGGGGCAACCGUUCUAUCCCUCUUCUUUUGAGUUUUUGCACCCUUUGCUUUAGAUGAUGCCCCCACUUCCUUUUUCGAUUUUCUCUUCAUAGAAGUUUGAUUUGCCAUUAAUGCCGGUGCAUGCAAACUUUUAGACCUCUGUUCUGCCCAGUUGGGGUCUCUGAAUCAAAUUUUGAUCAUUGUUAGGUGUUAUUAUUUGGGAAAUCCCAAUAUUAAAAGACGGAUGAUCCAUUUUGACAACUGAUCCAAAAUCGAUUGAAACACAAAAAUUAAUUUUGAAAGAAAAAUGAAAAAGAUGAUAAUACCUAUUUUGAACUUUGGACGGUUGAAUAGAGAUAGAAUCAUUUGAAAAUCAAAUUGCUUUGAAUUCGAUAACUGAUUUGGUAGUGGGGAAAGAUUAGAGGCGAGAUUUUGGGGAUGAGAAAGGUGGGUUUUGGGUUCUUUCAAAAUAACGUAUCCGGAAUAGAGGGUUUGGGGAAAAAUAGGGAUUUUUGAAUUUUUAUGAAAGAGUAGGGAUUAAACGAGAAUAUAUAAACAUAUGUAGUGUAGUUUAGUAAUUUUGCCAAAAAAACAAACGCCUAUUUUGGGAAGGAAGGAGUAAAAUCUUACCAUUUGACAAGUGCCUGCAUUAACAUCACAGACAGGAUAAUCAUGUGGACAGCAAUUGUUGUUGUCAUCACAGCAGGUAGCAGACUCAUAAGGACAACAUCCCCAGCAAAAACAGUAGCCGCCAUACUUAUAAAUGCAGCAGCAAGUAGUGCCCUCGGUGCAGCUAUAGUACUUAUCGCAAACGGUUGAUGGUGCUACAGGAUUAGGAGGAGAUGGACCGGGAUUAGAAGGACUUGCGCCAUUCUUAAGAGUGUAAGAGGGCUCCAUUGCAAUUCCACACUUUCCACUAGUGCUAUUAGCUAAAUUGCGCUCGAGCCUAAUGUAUCCACUUUCCCCCCAGUUAGGACCCCAUGAAUUCCUCACAAUCCAAUAAUCUGAACCAUUAUCUGUUCCGUAACCAACUGCAACUACACCAUGGUCUAGUUGUGUUCCUCAGUAUCCAGUGAAAACAUCUUCAUGAUUUGAAAAGGAAAAGAAAGUGUAAAUGAGUAUGGUAGUUUUUUUUAGUAGAAAAAACAAGGCGUUAGAAGCCGUGAUUGCAGAUUAGGCAUAAACUAGAAUCGUAGGAACUAAUCCAAAACUUAGAGUCAAUGGGUUUAGGUACAGACAAUACUAGACUUGAUCCGACCACAUACUAAAAGGGUACAUUAAGAGAAUUGUUCUCAUACCGAAAAGUAAUGCUGGAAAGCUCUGCCACCAGCAUCAAUAGCAACACUAACUGUUUGAUUUGACAAUGCCUUCAUCAAUGACUUCUCAUCAUUUAUGGGAACAACUUCAUAUCCAUCAAUGGAGACAACCCGGGCAUUUUUCUGAAAGACAAAAUUGUUAGCAGACUAUCAAUACAUGAGUAAUAUUUUGGAUGUUUUCUAGAAAGUAUGGUCUAACAUACCCUGUUUGAAUCACAAGUACCAUAUUUAGCACGGUAGGGAUAGGCAGCCUCAGUGUCAAUGCCACCGUUGUUUUUAAUGAAUUCAAAGGCGUAGUCCAUGAGACCACCAUUACAACCCUGGUUAUAGCUCUUGUCACAAUCAACAAGCUCUUGUUCAGAGAGGGAAAUCAAUUCACCGGUUACAAAUUGAUUUAUUCCUUCAACAGCACCAACCGUCGAGAAUGCCCAGCAACUCCCUUCAUAAGAAAAAUAUACAACUUCAGUAGAUAUACAUACGAUAUCUCACAUGCUUAAUCAACAAAUUUAUGAGCCAAGGUCAAUCGAAAACAAAUUAUGUGUUUUCAAGUCUGUGUAUAUACUAUCCUUUCCAAACCCCAAUUAUAACGGGUUUGCUGUUGACAAAAUAGGUCAAACACAACAUACAAAUCAAAACUUUUGACCUAAAUAAGACUCUUGUCAACACUCCAUUGAAAGUAAUCUUCCUCCAACAGAGAAAAUACAAAAAAACUCACCGCAUUGGCCUUAGUCUUUAACAGGGGCAACAGCGCCUUUCUGUCUCCAUUCAACGGAUUCCGGCAACUCUUCGCCGGACUUAAAAGCGUAACGUUCGCUUUUAGGGUUCUUCAACAGCCUCGUCUUUUUAGCGAACACGGCACAGUACUCAUCGUUGGUAAGAUCAGAAAAUCGAUUCAACCCAAGUUUAUACGGUCUGGUCUCAGCGUUUUGCUCGUCGAUGAAUCUUAAAUUAUCCUUAAAAAUCUCAAAUCGUUUCUCCUUUUCUCCAAUGGCAUUGUAAUUCUUUCCAUGUUUAACAAUCCAAGAUUCAUACAAUCCGUUAACUUGAUCGUCUGUAUGAUGAUUUGUUGUCCCUAAAUCUGCAUGUUUUUCAUCGUAACUGAUGAUGGACAUGUCAAGAGCAGAUGAAAGGACAAAAAAUGUAAGAAGAAAUAAGAACAAAGGCCUGAAAAAAGUCAUAUUUUUUUAUUUUCUUUGUUUUAAUCUUCUUCUUGGUUCCAGAAAUUGAUAUGUUGGUCUCCUAUUACUCCAGAGCAAAUUGUUGCAGAUCCCCCUCCAGCUCAGGAGAAUCACAUUUCUGAGCAGAGCACACCAUCAUAAUUGAAGAAGUCCCAAAGAAGUCUUAUGCUUCAAUUGUCAUGCAUCUAAAGGAAAGUGCUGCAACUUUCUCCCCUCCUCCAGCACCUGCUCCUAGGAAGAUUGUGCCUAAGAAUGUUGAGCAAGUGAGACAACCUCUUGCACCAGUACCAGCUGAUAGCCCUGUUUUAAGCUUAGACUUUGUUGAUAAUGUGAAUAACCAAGAGGGAGAAGCUGAUGGACACUCCAUCUAUAUCAAAGGUCUACCUAUGAGUGCCACCGCCACCAUGCUUGAAGAUGAGUUCAAGAAGUUUGGACCUAUAAAGAAUGGAGGCAUUCAAGUCCGAAGUAACAGACAACAGGGAUUUUGUUUUGGCUUUGUGGAAUUUUAGGUGGAAAUUGCUGUGCAAAAAGCAAUUGAGGCUUCUCCAAUUUUAAUUGGUGGACGCCAAGCUGCCGUUGAAGAGAAGAAGUCUACCAGUUCUCGAGGUAACACUAGGGAUUCAGGAAUGAUGGAGUACGUGGGCGAGGAAACUACAAUGGAAGUUGGAGGGGCUAUAAUCGCGGUGAUUUCAAUGGAAGAAGUGAGUUCAACAACAGAGGAGGGUCAUCCAACCGUGGAGGUGGUGAUGGCUAUCAGCGAAGUGACAACAAUGGGCGAAUGAAUCGUGGUGGUGGUGGUAUGGCAAAUGGAACUGCCAAAAAUAUGACACCACGGAUUUCAGCUACAGCUUGAGGAGAAGUAGUUUUGGGCAAAUAAGUGAAGCUAAUUUAGUAGUAAUUCUUUUUUAAUUUGAAAUGGUUGGAUGUGGGCAGUUAGGAAGUUUUGUCACUCUUGCUGCAUAUUGUGCCUUUCCCUAAUUCUUGACGUUAAUCGGUAUAGAGGUUGGAGUAGCUUCUGUUUUUGUAGCAAAAAUAAAUAAAUUGUGAUUAAUGAGUAAAAAUGAUUUUAAAUAUUGUGAUUAAUGGUGGAAAUGUAAAGAGAAAAUAUAUGAAUUUGAGGAUAUUUGGGGUGUGUGUCUAAAUACAUAGAAUUCAUCUCCGUUGAAAUAGGGAAAAUACAAGUUUCGUGCUAUUCGUGAAUUGUGUGAACCUUUUAAAUUAUGAAAAUCUUGACCAUUCUUAAUGUUGUUUGAAUUGUAAUUUGUAAUUAUCCAAAAGUUAAUUUCUUUUAUGAUAUUUUUCAUUUUAUAAGCAAGUACUUGUUUUGCUUUCAAAUUCAAAUCAGUUUUGCACGGUUUUCGAGUAGCUUAUACGAUUAUCUUUCCCUGUUUUCAAUUUCUUUGGUUAAUUGAUGAUUUUACACGUCCAACCUACUAUCGAGAAUUUAAAUUUAAUGAAUUAUAGGUAUAUGAUCUAAUAGAAAUAAAAAUAAUAAUAGUAUACUCAUUGUAAUUUUAUAAAAUAAAAAAAAAGAAUAUUGAGGGUGUAAAGACUUUGCCGUUGUUCCCUUUUCUUCUAGUGCACGUAUUCCUUUCAUAGUUGAACUGUCUCAACUCACUCUUUUUCCUUUUGUAUACUUAUUUUUUAAGUUCAUAUGCAUUUUUAGUAUGUUAUGAUCCUUUUUAUUCAAGAGUUUCCAGAAAAGUAUUUACCUUCCAUUCAAGUUAGUAGUAAAACAUAUGUAUGAUUAAUGUAAAACACAAGGUGCCAAUAGGUAUUUACCAAACAUUCAAUUACUUAACAUCUCUCUUUUUAUUGAAUUAUCCUGUUUGACACAACUUAAUGGAAUAAUAUAAUAAUAUUCUACACAAUUUUUUUUAAGGUUUAUUUAACGAUUAUAACAUUAAUGAUAUAAUUUGAUGCCACCAAUAAGCAUUUGGUAUGAUAUUUUUGCAACAAUCAUAGAACUGGUCUAUGGACUAUGCAUAAGAACUCCUGCAUACUGAUAAAAGUGUAAUUUGGUAUACAUAAUUUGAAAUUGAUGUAAACGCGAAGAUACAAUAUUUCUGUAGUGGUUUAGUUUCAGCAACAUAUGAAGAAAUUCCCAUCAGUUAGAGGUAAUUUUCGCGUUCCUCAAUUGUUCUAGUAAGGAAAUCAAACUGUUGUGAGAUGAUCCACCUUUCUCCACAGCCCUUUUAGCCAAUUCUCCUAAGGCAGCUGCACGGCCUCGCAUCUCCUCAGCUUCCUGACCAACCAUCACUUUGGUCACUGCUCUUUCUAUGUCUUUCCUGUUUAUUGGGACUGUGCUAUCUGUUCUAUUAGACCAAGCCUCAGAACCUACUGGAACUCCAAUCUUUAAUAUCUCUACUAGUAGCUUUUCAUUAAAAAAUUGCUCAGCUGAUAGCGGCCAUGUGAUCAUUGGCACUCCGGCACUUACUCCUUCGAGCAAUGAGUUCCAUCCACAGUGAGUCACAAAACCUCCAAUAGCUUCAUGAUCAAGGAUUAGCACCUGAGGUGCCCAUCCUUUUAUUAUCAAACCUCGUCCGUUCACGUUCAGCUUUUCCUCAAAUCCUUCUGGUAUCCACUCAUUCUGCUCUUCGUUGAUUGUAUUCUGCGUCACCGCCCAGAUAAACUGCUGGUUUGAUGCUUCGAGAGCUAUUGCUAUCUCAAGCAACUGAGCUGAUGAAAAGACUGCCAUACUGCCGAAACAUAUGUAAAUGACUGAUUUUGGUUCCUUAGUAUCGAGCCAAUCCAAACACUUUUGCUCACAAAAGGAACUGUCUUGCCCUCUUUGUGAUUUAUCUUCAUUGCAGAGCGAAAUAGGACCAACGUGCCAUACUUUUCUCCCUACUACUUCCCUGGAGUGUUUUACAUAAUUUGGUUCCAUCUCAUAAAAGCUGUUUACAAUAACUCCAUAACUAGUCGUUUCUGCUCGCAUAAUAGCUUUAACUAUUGCAGUCACUGGGGUAUCUUUUUCAUCCAUCAAGUGUUCUGAAAGCUUUUGUCUUGACAUCUUUAUUGUGUCAGGAAGGCCAGGGAUGACAAACUCUUCCAUCUCGGAUUCAACAUUCAAAUGAGGUUUGUGUUCCAUCAAACUAUGUAAAGCACAAAGAGGGAAAAAACCAGAGCCAUUAAAAGCUAGUGUUGGAAUUUCCAGCUUGGUUGCAACAUCAACAGCCCAUGAAAAUUGAGGGGCUGCUAUUAGACAAUCUGGAUGGUCUUCCUCAAGGAACUGUUCAAUUGGGUUUUGAAACAGCGAUAGGCCCAUGAUGAAAUUCAGAUACAUCAGUGUACUAGUAGUAGAAGCUAUGUUUUCACAGCCCUCCGGCAAUCCAGCUUCUUUGCAAGGAAACUUGACUGUACGGAUGCUAAUAUCACUGCCCAUCUCUCUGUCUCUUUGGAUUGUUUUGGAGAAUUUAGACGCGUUGAGAGGAGUCGUGAUAAUGGUUGCCUUCACUCCAUGUCUAGCAAAUUGCCUGGCUAUAUCUACUAGUGGUAUCAUGUGGCCAGGAGCCAUCAUAGGCAGAAAGUAUAUGUGAAGUUGAUCGCUUCUUUUAUCCAUGGUAGCCAGGGAAUAGAUAAGAAAAAACAGCUGAUGAACUAAAAAAGAACAGGAGAUAAAAGAAAGUAGAAGGUGUUGUAUAUCUAUUCGUCUUUGCUCGUCAUGGUUUUAUAGAUAAACAAGGAUUCUGAUUUUGCUAAUGACUUCAUGGGGAGCAUUACUUUUCUAUGGUAUACAAGGUGCCAUUGCUGACUUUUUGUACUUUGAAAAAUUCUAAUUUGAGUUCAAGACAAGUUAACUAGACCUGUUGUUAUCAUUGCUGACUCUUUCCUACAAUUAAAUAUGAGUGAUGUGCAAGAAAAGUAAAAAUUCUGUAGUUUAUAUGAUUUUUUUAUGUCUAGAUGGGAUUGAUCUUUGGCUUAUUUUUCUUCUUUCUGUCUGAUUGAGGUUUUAGAGAGUGAUGGGUUUGAAUUGUUUAUUAAAACUUGGACAGAUGUAUAGUUGACUUGAUUGGAUCAAAUUAGACACUGUAAAAUACUAUAGUUGUACAGACUUUUUGUACAUUGAUUGAUCUUUGGCUUAUUUUUCUAGUCGUCAGGUGCAAUCAGUUUCCAGUGAUUUCUUCUUUCUGUCUGGCUGAGGAUUUAGAGAGUACUGAUAGGUUUGAAUUGUUUAAUAUAGUUGACUUGUUGUACAGACUUGAUUGGAUCAAAUUAGGAGUCAAUUCCCUAAAUGGUCAUCCAAGUUUAGAGAAUUUCCAUGAAAUAUCAUUUAUAUUUCAUUUAGGACAAAAAUAUCACUCAACUAUCACUAUUUUCCUCAAAAUAUACUUGACACUUCAAAAGUCUUACUCUCUCAUACUCCCUCCGUCCCUAUUUACUUGUCCAUAUUUCCUUUUUUGGUUGUCCCUAUUUAGUUGUCCAUUUUGACAAAUCAAGAAAGGACAACAAAUUUUUUCCUAUUAUACCCUUAUUUACACUUCUUGAAAAUUGUAAAAGUGUAUGUUGUUUCCCUCCAAUUUAUUUCACUUGAAUUCAAAUAAGUGAUUGUAAUUUUGAAGUGAAAAGUUGUCAUAAGGGUAAAAUUGUAACUUCACUGUGCUAAUCAUUGUUGCCUUAAUCUGUGUGCCAUUUCUAAAGUGGACAACUAAAAAGGGACGGAGGGAGUACUUAACAAAGCAUACUAAACACGUGGUCAACAAAAUUAAACGUGCUUACAUUUCUUGCCUUGAGGUUAGAUAGAUAUUUUCGUGGACCCCUUUGCUUUAACUAUUUAGGCUUCUAUACACUGUUUUUCUUUUAUAAUUUUCAAGAAGNNNNNNNNNNNNNNNNNNNNNNNNNNNNNNNNNNNNNNNNNNNNNNNNNNNNNNNNNNNNNNNNNNNNNNNNNNNNNNNNNNNNNNNNNNNNNNNNNNNNNNNNNNNNNNNNNNNNNNNNNNNNNNNNNNNNNNNNNNNNNNNNNNNNNNNNNNNNNNNNNNNNNNNNNNNNNNNNNNNNNNNNNNNNNNNNNNNNNNNNNNNNNNNNNNNNNNNNNNNNNNNNNNNNNNNNNNNNNNNNNNNNNNNNNNNNNNNNNNNNNNNNNNNNNNNNNNNNNNNNNNNNNNNNNNNNNNNNNNNNNNNNNNNNNNNNNNNNNNNNNNNNNNNNNNNNNNNNNNNNNNNNNNNGCAUGACAUGUCAUUAAAGUCUUUUUUUUUUGUAAUAAUAGACUAGUUUGAUUCAUUAAACUCAUUUAACUAAAAUAAUUAUCAUAUUAUUUUAUUUUUAAAAAAAAAUAAAAAAAAUAAAAAAAUAAAAAAUAUAUAUAUAUUAGUUUAUUAAGAGUAAAUCUUCAUACUUAAAGAAUCUUUUAUUAUAAUUAAACUUUUUAUUUUUUUAUGUUAUGAAGAAUAUGUUUUUAAAACGUACUAUAAUAUCAUCAAUUUUGAAUACUUAUAAACAUAUACAUUAANNNNNNNNNNNNNNNNNNNNNNNNNNNNNNNNNNNNNNNNNNNNNNNNNNNNNNNNNNNNNNNNNNNNNNNNNNNNNNNNNNNNNNNNNNNNNNNNNNNNNNNNNNNNNNNNNNNNNNNNNNNNNNNNNNNNNNNNNNNNNNNNNNNNNNNNNNNNNNNNNNNNNNNNNNNNNNNNNNNNNNNNNNNNNNNNNNNNNNNNNNNNNNNNNNNNNNNNNNNNNNNNNNNNNNNNNNNNNNNNNNNNNNNNNNNNNNNNNNNNNNNNNNNNNNNNNNNNNNNNNNNNNNNNNNNNNNNNNNNNNNNNNNNNNNNNNNNNNNNNNNNNNNNNNNNNNNNNNNNNNNNNNNNNNNNNNNNNNNNNNNNNNNNNNNNNNNNNNNNNNNNNNNNNNNNNNNNNNNNNNNNNNNNNNNNNNNNNNNNNNNNNNNNNNNNNNNNNNNNNNNNNNNNNNNNNNNNNNNNNNNNNNNNNNNNNNNNNNNNNNNNNNNNNNNNNNNNNNNNNNNNNNNNNNNNNNNNNNNNNNNNNNNNNNNNNNNNNNNNNNNNNNNNNNNNNNNNNNNNNNNNNNNNNNNNNNNNNNNNNNNNNNNNNNNNNNNNNNNNNNNNNNNNNNNNNNNNNNNNNNNNNNNNNNNNNNNNNNNNNNNNNNNNNNNNNNNNNNNNNNNNNNNNNNNNNNNNNNNNNNNNNNNNNNNNNNNNNNNNNNNNNNNNNNNNNNNNNNNNNNNNNNNNNNNNNNNNNNNNNNNNNNNNNNNNNNNNNNNNNNNNNNNNNNNNNNNNNNNNNNNNNNNNNNNNNNNNNNNNNNNNNNNNNNNNNNNNNNNNNNNNNNNNNNNNNNNNNNNNNNNNNNNNNNNNNNNNNNNNNNNNNNNNNNNNNNNNNNNNNNNNNNNNNNNNNNNNNNNNNNNNNNNNNNNNNNNAAUAAAUGUGUUUAUAAGUAUUCAAAAUUGAUGACAUUAUAGUAAGUUUUAAAAAAACUAUUUUUCAUAGCAUAAAAAAAAUUAAUUAUGAUAAAAGAUUCUUAAGCAUGAAAUUUCUUCUUAAUAAACUAAUUUAUACUUUAUAGAAAAUAAUAAUAUCAUUAUUUUAGUGAAAUUAGUUUGAUGAAUUAAAUAAGUCUAUUCUUAAAAAAAAACUUCAAUGACAUGGCAUGCCAACUAGGAGAGAGUGAAACUUUUGAAGUCUUUAAGUAUAUUUGGAGGAAAAUAGUGAUAGUUGAGUGAUAUUUUGGUUAUAAAUGAAACAUAAAUGAUAUUUCAAGGCAAUUUCCUAAACUUGGGUGACCAUUUAGGGAAUUGACUCAUCAAAUUAGGCAUCGUAAAAUCAUUUUACCAAACACACCAUUUCCACUCGCUCCACACACAGAAAAUCACAUUGGAAGUGCCAUCCUAAAUAGCCUCUACAAUACGCAAUUCAAAUCUAGUUAAGGUUCCAAUGCAAGCUUCGGACAUCAGAUGAAAAAUUAAAAAAAAAAAAACUCGCUCCCUCCAUGCACCAAACUAUUUUAAUUUAUCAUAAUUAAGUGUAUAUAUAUACUAGGGGUUUACACAAAUUAUGAUUAUGCUGAAGCAAUAGAAUUUUUUAUAACACGAUGGAAAUUGGAAAAGUUUGAGGGGUUGACAGGUGAGGCGAGGCGUGCACAAGAUUUUGUGUGCAAAUUUCCACUUAUGAUCAAGAAGUUGGAAAAUCGAGCUAAGAAAUCAGAUCCGCGUCGAGUGAAGUUUAGUUGGAUUUUCAACAAAGAAGUGAGUGUUUAGAUAAAUUGAUAUGUAAGAAAGAUGUAAAACAAAAGCGUCCGUUAAGCUGCUAAAAUAAACUUAUUUGACAUGUAUUUCUUAAUAAAAGUGUUUUCUGAAAAAGUACUUUGAAAGAGUAUAAUAUAUAAUUUGUAUAAAACUAAAUCAUUUGAGAAGUGUUUUUAUUGUUAGUUUGUCUUUAAUCAACAAUUUCAUAAGAGUCUGUUUGGUAUUGUUGCUAAAAACACUUAUUUUUAAAAGUAUUUUUGAAUAAGAGUAUAUAAAAAUUUAACAAAAAUGAAUAAAUUACUAUUAUAUAAAAAUAUAAAAUAAAAUUUAAAAUGAAACUUAACCAAGCUUAUGCGAUAUGUUAAUUAAUUAAUAAGAGAUAAAUUGAUAAAUAUAUAUGUAUAAAUGACAUGGUUUGAUCAACCGACCUACAUUCACAAAAGAAAAUGAGCAAUCCACUAUAUAAAUAUAUGAGAAUACAAACUAUAGAGAGAAAUAACCUCACUCGGAAUAAAAAGAGGUUCAAACAAAUGGUGAUUGAUGAUUUUGACUUCAUAACAUCUAUAGAUGAAUUAGGCCACUUAGCAUGACUAACAUCAUGCUUUCCCAAGAAAUUGUCCGAGGUAUUAAGAAGCCAAAUUCGGGAGUUAAUAUGGUUAUCAAGCUUGACAUAUUUAAAGUUUACGAUAUGGUCACAUAGCCUUUCACAUGCAUCCAGGGGCAGAUCUACUGAGAUCCGUGGGGUGCCACGCCACCCACAAGUUUCGACGGAAAUUCUAUUUAUAUAUAGGUAUUUAUGUACACCAUAUAUAUAAAUAAUAAACGUGCCACCCAGUAAACAAAAGUAUUCUCGGGUACCAGUGGUAGGCGAUCAGAUAUUUGUGUCUAAGUUCGCAGGAUCGAACCCUACUAACAGCUUUUUGUUUUAAUAUUUUUUCAACUGUAGGCAGCCUUUUUUUUUGUUUUUUUUUUAACUGCAGCGUUUCUUUUUUAACCUACAAAGGAAUAUUCUCUUUUGAUUUUUUUUUACUUGUUAACUUACUAUUAUUAAGUAUUAAUCAAUUUUUUUUAAAAUAAUAAAAAUUAAGUAUUAAUCAAUAAUUAGUUUUUAACUAUUUAUUUGUUUAAACAGAAAGAAAACUUUUUUUUUCUCUCUUCAGUAUUGAAACCCUGGAUGUUCCUUUAAACUUUUCAACAACAAAAAUCUGCCAUUAAUCAAAGCUUCAGCCUUCAGUCCGUCGCCCAAUCCCGCUCACCCAUCCGUCCAUAAGACGAAUAAUUCUAUAUGAAUCAAAAGUUGAUUUAAUCUGAGUCUACUGGUCAUUAGAGGCGAAUUCAAAAUUUGAAGAUUUCGGUGUAUCAAUACUUCUUAAUUUAGGUAGUUAGCGAAACUUUUACUACAAUUAACGAAUAAUGUAGUAUUUCUUGGUCACUAAUGGCUCAAAUAUGAUCUCUAAGCUAAACUUAAAAUAAAAAUAAUGAAAUAGGGUUCUAGCUAGAUUUGAAUUGUAUUUUCGCGAGUGGUUCCUCUGGCUUGUACCGACUACACAAGGGCAUCCCUACGCUUCUUAUAGGUGCACUGUUGAUUAUACGUUUCUCAAGCACGUUUUUUCAAAGUUAAUGGGUGCACCCCUAUCAAAUCAUGUGGGUUCGCCUCUACUUGGCACCCAGUGACUCGAAAUCCUAAAUCCGCCUCUGCAUGCAUCAUACUUAGAAGAAUAAGAUUCAAUGAAACUAUUAUAGAUACGAUCUGGAGAAUCAUAUCUAAAAUAAUAAUAAUUGAUAUACUAUUAUAAUAGAUGGAACUAGAUAUGGCUUUUUUCAAUUUUCUUGAGGCUUUAAAUAAGGUGACCCUUAUCACCUUCUCUAUUCAUUCUUGUGGCGGAUUACUUUCCCGAAUUUUUUUAUAGUUGUAUUAUAUAUAUACUUCUAAUAUAUACUAAAUAUACUAUCGAUUAUAUUAAAAUACUUACAUUAUAUAUAUAUACUAGAUGGGCAUGGCACGGGCCCAACAUUUUAUAUUUUCAAAUAACAUGUAAUUUGCAUAGUCAUUCGGCAAUGAAAAAUAUCAAUAAAGAGUAGAAAAAGAAUAAAGUAGUACAUGAAAAAUGUAAAGCUAAAAUUUUCGGUACGAUUGAAGGAAGCGGAAGUCAUAUAUGGCAAAUGGUUAAUCUGCUCCCCUUCAGUCUUUUUCGCAUAAAUUUUCUAUUGUCCUUCCAAGUAUCUCAGCUCACUUCCCAAUUCUUUUUCCAGAAAGCUUGUAUGUUCUUUAAAAAUUGUACAUGCAAUAUAAAAAUUACACAUCAGAGAACAAACAAAUUAAGUUGUACAAUGAUUUACACUGCUCCUUUUAGCUGUCUUGAUUUGCUAUACCACCAAAAGCAAUUUUGCGACUGACCAUCCUAGAACAAUUAUUAGACGUGCUUCUUACUUCGUCUCUUCUGUCAAAGGCAAUAAGUAAUUCAUAUGAAGAAAGAUGAAAAUUGUGAAAGGAGUAAUUUUACUGAACCCGCAUUUUAACUCAACGAUUAAUUUCAUUUAACUUACACUCUCAAAGUAUCCAUGGUUACUUGGUGGAUGGUGUCAAUGCUCAUAAAGAACUUCAGAAUAUUUAAGGACAGUAACAGAAAAUCAGUCGAAAUUUUUAAUACUGUACAUUUUAGCAGAGACAUUGAACAUGUCCAACAGAAACCAGUAAAUAGUUAAACAAGGAUUUUGAAACUUCUGAUUUUGCUAAUGUCUUCAUGGGAGCAUUACUUUUCUAUGGUAGGUAAGGUGCCAUUGCUGACUUUUUGUACUUUGAAAAUUCUCAUUUGAGUUCAAGACAAGUAAAUUAGACCUGUUGUUAUCAUAAUUUUAUGUCUAGGAUUUGUCUAUGUACGUUUUCGUCAAAAAAAAAUACAAACAUCUAAACUCUCAAGGAAAUCAAACUAUACAUGUUUGGCCAUAGGUAAUAUUUGGAGAAAAAAUUGGCAAAUAGUAUUUGUCCGUACAAUUUGUCAUUAUUUGACAAAUAUUCCAAAUUUUCAAAUACUAGGCUAGCGUUUGGCCAUAGAUUUCCAAAUAUUUUUCGCAAAUAUUAUUUGGGUGAAAUUUCACCAUGUGUUUGGCCAUAAUAUUUGUGAAAUAUAUUUCACUUUUUAGAAAAAUAUGAUUUAUACCCAUAAGUUUUAAAAACUAUCAAAACUAACCAUAAGUUUGUAUUACAAGUCAAUUGGAUCUUCGUUGCAACAAAUAACAAGUAGUUUCCAUGCCACUAGAGCAAUGUGGUAGUUUGGAGUGAGUGCAACAAACAUUAUUUCAUACAUCGUGAAGUAGACAAAGCACAUGACUUUGUUACAUUGAGCCGAUUGUUCAUCAUUUUCAUCAACAACCAUAUCAUCACUUUCAUAUUCACUGAAUAUUUCAUCACUACUUUGGUGUUCACGUAAAAAAUUAUGUAAUAUAACACAAACAAUUACUAUAGAGGGUGUUUUUGUAAAAGAUAAAAGUUUGGUGUAAAAUUUCAAUUUUCAAAAGAUCCCAAAUAAUGAGAUUUGGCCCAAAUACUAGAAAAAACUAUGAAGAUAUCAAAUAUUGUCUUUCUCAAAGAAUCUCGAAUAUUUCGUAAAUUCAUCAAAUAUUCAAAGAUCAAUGGAGAUCAAAUAAAUCUGAAAAUAUCCCAUAAACUCUGACUAUUUAUAAAGAUCAAGAUAUCAAAUAUCUCAUACAUUGUUGGAUAUUCUCAAAUAGAUCAUGAAGAUAUCAAAUAUUGUCUUUCUCAAAGAAUCUCGAAUAUUUCGUAAAUUCAUCAAAUAUUCAAAGAUCAAUGGAGAUCAAAUAAAUCUGAAAAUAUCCCAUAAACUCUGACUAUUUAUAAAGAUCAAGAUAUCAAAUAUCUCAUACAUUGUUGGAUAUUCUCAAAUAGAUCAUGAAGAUAUCAAAUAUUGUCUUUCUCAAAGAAUCUCGAAUAUUUCGUAAAUUCAUCAAAUAUUCAAAGAUCAAUGGAGAUCAAAUAAAUCUGAAAAUAUCCCAUAAACUCUGACUAUUUAUAAAGAUCAAGAUAUCAAAUAUCUCAUACAUUGUUGGAUAUUCUCAAAUAGAUCAUGAAGAUAUCAAAUAUUGUCUUUCUCAAAGAAUCUCGAAUAUUUCGUAAAUUCAUCAAAUAUUCAAAGAUCAAUGGAGAUCAAAUAAAUCUGAAAAUAUCCCAUAAACUCUGACUAUUUAUAAAGAUCAAGAUAUCAAAUAUCUCAUACAUUGUUGGAUAUUCUCAAAUAGAUCAUGAAGAUAUCAAAUAUUGUCUUUCUCAAAGAAUCUCGAAUAUUUCGUAAAUUCAUCAAAUAUUCAAAGAUCAAUGGAGAUCAAAUAAAUCUGAAAAUAUCCCAUAAACUCUGACUAUUUAUAAAGAUCAAGAUAUCAAAUAUCUCAUACAUUGUUGGAUAUUCUCAAAUAGAUCAUGAAGAUAUCAAAUAUUGUCUUUCUCAAAGAAUCUCGAAUAUUUCGUAAAUUCAUCAAAUAUUCAAAGAUCAAUGGAGAUCAAAUAAAUCUGAAAAUAUCCCAUAAACUCUGACUAUUUAUAAAGAUCAAGAUAUCAAAUAUCUCAUACAUUGUUGGAUAUUCUCAAAUAGAUCAUGAAGAUAUCAAAUAUUGUCUUUCUCAAAGAAUCUCGAAUAUUUCGUAAAUUCAUCAAAUAUUCAAAGAUCAAUGGAGAUCAAAUAAAUCUGAAAAUAUCCCAUAAACUCUGACUAUUUAUAAAGAUCAAGAUAUCAAAUAUCUCAUACAUUGUUGGAUAUUCUCAAAUAGAUCAUGAAGAUAUCAAAUAUUGUCUUUCUCAAAGAAUCUCGAAUAUUUCGUAAAUUCAUCAAAUAUUCAAAGAUCAAUGGAGAUCAAAUAAAUCUGAAAAUAUCCCAUAAACUCUGACUAUUUAUAAAGAUCAAGAUAUCAAAUAUCUCAUACAUUGUUGGAUAUUCUCAAAUAGAUCAUGAAGAUAUCAAAUAUUGUCUUUCUCAAAGAAUCUCGAAUAUUUCGUAAAUUCAUCAAAUAUUCAAAGAUCAAUGGAGAUCAAAUAAAUCUGAAAAUAUCCCAUAAACUCUGACUAUUUAUAAAGAUCAAGAUAUCAAAUAUCUCAUACAUUGUUGGAUAUUCUCAAAUAGAUCAUGAAGAUAUCAAAUAUUGUCUUUCUCAAAGAAUCUCGAAUAUUUCGUAAAUUCAUCAAAUAUUCAAAGAUCAAUGGAGAUCAAAUAAAUCUGAAAAUAUCCCAUAAACUCUGACUAUUUAUAAAGAUCAAGAUAUCAAAUAUCUCAUACAUUGUUGGAUAUUCUCAAAUAGAUCAUGAAGAUAUCAAAUAUUGUCUUUCUCAAAGAAUCUCGAAUAUUUCGUAAAUUCAUCAAAUAUUCAAAGAUCAAUGGAGAUCAAAUAAAUCUGAAAAUAUCCCAUAAACUCUGACUAUUUAUAAAGAUCAAGAUAUCAAAUAUCUCAUACAUUGUUGGAUAUUCUCAAAUAGAUCAUGAAGAUAUCAAAUAUUGUCUUUCUCAAAGAAUCUCGAAUAUUUCGUAAAUUCAUCAAAUAUUCAAAGAUCAAUGGAGAUCAAAUAAAUCUGAAAAUAUCCCAUAAACUCUGACUAUUUAUAAAGAUCAAGAUAUCAAAUAUCUCAUACAUUGUUGGAUAUUCUCAAAUAGAUCAUGAAGAUAUCAAAUAUUGUCUUUCUAAAAAAGAUCUCAAAUAUUUCGCAAAUUCAUGAAAUAUUCACAAAGAUCAAUAGAGAUAAAUUUCAAAUCAUCCUAGUUCGAGAAAUACGCCUCUAACGACCCUCAAAUUAUGGAGAUCAAAAGUAUAAAUCAUCCUAGUUCGAGAAAUACACUAAUGGUCCUCGAAUUAUGGAGAUCAAGUCCAAAUCAUCCUAGUUUGAGAAAUACACCACGAACGACCCUUGAAUCAAGGAUAAAUUCAAAUCAUCCUAGUUUAAGAAAUAUAUUACUAACGGCUCUCAAAUCAUGGAUAAAUCUUAUGAGAGAAGAAUCAAGGGAGGAACAAAAUUGCACUAAUUUGAUUUAUCAAUAAAAUAUUCUCAUUUCUUCAGAUUUUAUUUAUGAUUGAUUUAUCUUCCAAAUAUUUAGGACCCGUUUGGCGAUAGAUUUUCCAAGUAAAAUUUGGGGAAAAUUUGAUAAAUAGUGUUUGUCCAUAUAAUUUUCCAUUAUUUGGCAAAUAUUUUUGGCAAAUAUCCCAAAUUCCCAAAUACUAGUUUUUUUUAGUAUUUGGGCUAAAUCUCAUUAUUUGGGAUCUUUUGAAAAUUUUGAAAUUUCACCAAACUUUUAUCUUUUACAAAAACACCUUCUAUAGUAGUUGUUUAUGUUGUAUUACAUAAUUUUUUACGUGAACACCAAAGUAGUGCUGAAAUAUUCAAUAAAUAUGAAAGUGAUGAUAUGGUUAAUCGGCUCAAGGUAAUAAAAUCAUGUGUUUUGUCUACUUCACGAUAUAUGGAAUGAUGUUUGUUACACUCACUCCAAACUACCACAUUGCUCCAGUGUCAUGGACACUAAUUGUUAUUUGUUGUAACGAAGAUCCAAUUGACUUAUAAUACAAACUUAUAGUUAGUUUUGAUAAUUUUUAAAACUUAUGGAUAUAAAUCAUAUUUUUCUAAAAAGUGAAAUGUGUGUUCCAAAUAUUAUGGCCAAAUACAUGGUGAAAUUUCAUUCAAAUAAUAUUUACCAAAAAUAUUUGGAAAUCUAUGGCCAAACGCUAGCAUUAUAUAGCAAAGAAAGUCCAAAUUGUCUUAACACAUAAAUGAUGUAACAAUACAUUUAAACAAAUUCCCAUCAGUUGGAGCUGCUCUUCCUCAUCCUCAAUUCUUCUAGUAAGGAAAUCAAGCUAUUGUCAGAUGAUCCGCCUUUCUCUACAGCCAUUUUAGCCGAAUUUCCUAAAGCAUCUGCACGGCCUCGCAUCUCCUCUGCUUCCUGACCAACCAUCACUUUGGUCACUGCUCUUUGUAUGUUUUCCCUGUUAAUUGGGACUCUGCUAUCUGUUCUUUGAGACCAGGCCUGAACACCUACUGGUACUCCAAUCUUUAAUAUCUCUACUAGUAGCUUUUCAUUAAAAAAUUGCUCAGCUGAUAGCGGCCAUGUGACCAUUGGCACUCCGGCACUUACUCCUUCGAGUAAUGAGUUCCAUCCACAAUGAGUCACAAAACCUCCCGUAGCUUCAUGAUCAAGGAUAAGCACCUGAGGUGCCCAUCCUUUUAUUAUCAAACCUCGUCCGUUCACGUUCAGCUUUUCUUCAAAUCCUUCUGGCAUCCACUCUUCAUUUGUUGUAUUUUGCCUCACCACCCAUAUAAAUUGUUGGUCUGAUGCUUCGAGAGCGGUUGCUAUCUCAAACAACUGAUCUGAUGAAAAGAUGGACAUGCUUCCGAAACAUAUAUAAAUGACUGAUUUUGGUUCCUUGGUAUUGAGCCAAUCCAAACACUUUUGCUCAGAAAGGGAACUGUCUUGGCCUCUUUGUGAUUUAUCUUCAUUGUCUUUAUUGCAGAGCGAAACAGGACCAACGUGCCACACUUUUCUCCCUACUACUUCCCUGAAGUGUCGUACAUAAUUUGGUUCCAUCUCAUAAAAGCUGUUUACAAUAGCUCCAUAGCUAGUCGCUUCUGCUCGCAUAAAAUCUUUAACUAUUGGAGUCAUUGGGGUUUCUUUUUCAUCCUUCCAGUGUUCUGAAAUCUUUGAUCUUGACAUCUUUAUUGUGUCAGGAAGGCCAGGGAUGACAAACUCUUCCGUCUCGGAUUCAACCUUCAAAUGAGGUUUGUGUUCCAUAAAAGAGUGAUAAGCACACAUAGGAAGUAAACCAGUGCCAUUAAAAGCUAGCCUUGGAAUUCCCAGCUUGGCUGCAACAUCAACAGCCCAUGAGAAGAAAGUUCCUGCUAUUAGACAAUCUGGAUGAUCUUCCUCCAUGAACUGUUCAACUGGCUGUUGAAACAAGUACAAGGCUAUGACGAAUUUUAGACUCAUUUCUGAACUAGUAGUAGAAGCUAAGUUUUCACAGCCCUCUGGCAAUCCAGCUUCUUUACAAGGGAAUUCAAUUGUCCGGAUGCUAAUAUCACUGCCAAGCUCUCUAUCUUUUUGGAUUGUUUUUGAGAAUUUAGUCGCGUUGAGAGGAGUCGUGAUGAUUGUUACCUUCACACCAUGCCUGGAAAAUUGCCUGGCCAUGUCUACUAAUGGUAUCAUGUGGCCUGGAGCCAUCAUUGGCAAAAAGUAUACAUGAAGUUGAUCUGUUCUUUUAUCCAUAGUUGCUAUAAGUAUGUAAAAAGAAUGUUGAAAGAAAAUAGGAGUUGUUGUAUUUCUAGCCUUUGCUCAUCCAGUUUUUUAUAGUCAAACCAAGAUUUAAAAAAUGUUGGAUUCUGGUUUUAGCUAAUGUUUCAUGCUGUAUUUACUUGUCAAAAGUAUGUAAGUUGUCAUUGCUGACGGUUAUCUACAAUUUAAUACGAGUGAUGUGCAAGAAAAGUAAAAAUUCUAUAGUUUAUAUGAUUUUUUUAUAUCUAGAUGGGAUUGAUCUUUGUCUUAUUUUUCUAGUAGUCAUGUGCAAUUAGUUUCCAAUGUUUUCUUCUUUCUGUCUGGUUGAGGUUUUAGAGAGUGAUUGGUUUGAAUUGUUUAUUAAAAUUUGGACAGAUGUAUAGUUGACUUGCUACACUGACUUUCUCCAUUGAGAAAAUCCUAUUGGAACGUGCGUGAUCCGAAUUUAGUUGAGCUUCAACCACAGGGUGAAAAACCAAAAAAAAAAAAACUCACUCCCUGCCACUAUAAUUUAUCAUAAUUAAGUGUCAAUUUUUUCUGAACCACUCAUCAAGACUAGCCAACAAGAAGUUUAUUGGAGUCUCACUAGGUAAGACUUCUGAAUGAGAUCACGGUUUUUGGACAGGAGAAUUGGUUUCGUAAUUCAUUUAUAAUAUUUAUUUUUCUAAUUUUAUUAUGUAUUUUUACAAGAAGUUUUUAUUUUUACAUAUAAAAUCUGAAAAAGGUAAUGUUCUUAUAUGUAGUUGUAAGUGGACAAGAGAUCCUUGUUUUUUACAUGUGUCAUGGCCCAAUAGCCCACAUUCAUUUCGAUGCGUGGCUAAGCUAGAGAUCCAGAACUUGGCCCAUAGUUAUAUUGGGCCUAGUCUGCAAUCAGCCCAACAUUGGCGUAGAAUUUCUUCGCUUAAGUUGGGCCAAGAUGCACACCGAACCAGCCAUUCUUCUGCGAGCCCAGGUACCAAAUCCUUAUGAGAAGUCGUUGGCCCUUUUCCCUCCUAUUAUGAUUUAUUUAUGUUCUAACUUCUACCAAACGACCCCUUAGAGAUAAUGAGAUCUCGUUAGUGGUAAGUUUCGUCUUUCAUUUGGUCGUGUUACUAAGUGGGGUCGUUUGGUUGGAAACAAGUUAUCCCAGGAUAAGUUAUCCUGGGUUAGCUAUCAUGGGAUAACUUAUCCCACCAUGUAUAUGAGAUAACUUAUCCCAUCACCAUGAUAUAAAUGGUGGGAUAAGUUAUCCCAAACAUGGCAACCAAACAACAUAAAAAAAAAUUAUUCCAUCACUAUUUCCUUAUCCCAUCACUAUUAUUUUUAAUCCCUCACACCAAACGAGCCAUAGUAAUAUUAGGAUUAUGACUCAACUCUCAACUAGACACUCUAAUUUAGAACAAACAAUAGUCAAGAGGUCAUAAUUCAAAUUAUAGUACCUGAAUUUAGGAUAACUAUCUAUCGAAUUUAUUUUAAUAUUUCCUAAUAAACCACGUGAACAUAAAAAUUUCAAGUGAAUAGCCUAAUAAGCAGUGGCGGAGCCACCUUAUAGCCUCUUUCGGCGGAAAAUUAUAUUAUUUAUACAUAGUUAAAAUAAUUUUUAGGUAUAUAUAGUAGAUGUCGAACCCUUUCGGCUAUUUCGUGUGUCCAUUUUUUCAAAUUUUGAACCCCUUAUUAAAAAUUAUGGCUCUGCCACUCCUAAUAAGAGAUUAUCUUUAUUCCUAUUGCUCCUUUUUGUGUUCACACUAUAUUUAUACCAGUAAUUUAUCAUCUUUUGUGUGCAUGAGAAAAAAAGUAUUAAAAAAAUAAAUAUAACAUAGGCGUGACAUUAAACUCCUCACUAAUUUUGCGCAAUGGAAUUCCACAUAUUCAUUCAUCUACCUAAUAAUCAUGAUUCUUUUGGUUUAUGGCCGAUGAGGUGCUCCACUUUCAACAUUUUAAAAUCCCAUUUAGCAAGAACUUUCUGGAAUCUUUGUUUAACUCCCCCAUUUAUAAUAGAUAAAAAGUUAAUUGUUUUUCCUUUUUAUUUAUUGUAUUUACUUGAAACAAUUAGAGUUUUAAAAAAAUCACACUACAUAACGAUAACUAAAAUUUUGAUUUGUAUCCGUUCACUUUGAUACAGAGCGAAUCGAUGCACAGACAAUUUUUUAAAAGUAAACUAUUGUUAUUAAUGUUAGAUUUGAUAAUUAGCUAAACUAUCAUGAUAAUUAAUAAUUCGAGCUUAAAAUACCGCCUACUAUGAAAUUUUCUCAUUGGAUAAUAACUAGACCAAUCACUAUAAAUUCUUCCAAUUACCCACUACAAUGUGAACUCAUGAGUCCUUUCAUCUUUUUCAAAACUUCACCAACCAAAAGAAUUAAUACCAUGCAUCUUUUAUGCUAUAAAAGAAAAUCAUUAUAAACAAUUUCUUCUCAUCUCUCCUCACUAAGUAACAAAAAAAAUUCCAAUUCCAUGAAGAUCUUUUAUUCCCUCAUUAUUUUUUCAAUUCUCAACAAUAUUAAUUGCCAAUUACUACCACCUUUACCAGCACCAAAUUUAACCUUCAUAGACCAAAGUCUAGCUCUAAUAUUCCCAAUAAUACAAAAUUUCAAGAACACAAUUACUCUUGAUCCUUUUGGUGUCACAAAAACUUGGACAGGCCCUGAUAUUUGCAAUUAUAAAGGCUUUUAUUGUGAUAAUCCACCUAAUAAUUCCUCAGCAAUUUCUCUUGCUUCUAUAGAUUUCAAUGGAUUUCAACUUAGUGCACCUACAUUAGAUGGUUUCAUUGAUCAACUCCCGGACUUAGCCAUAUUUCAUGCUAACACCAACAACUUUUCAGGCAUAAUUUCUUCGAAAAUUUCAAAUCUUCCAUAUCUUUACGAACUUGAUCUUAGUAACAACCAAUUCAUCGGUACAUUUCCCAUGUCAAUUCUCAAUAUCAAGACUCUAACUUUCUUGGAUAUUCGUUACAAUCUCCUAACAGGAAUAAUCCCACCUCAAAUUUUCGUACAAUAUCUUGAUGCAUUUUUUCUUAACAAUAACAAUUUCAUUCAAAAACUUCCAGACAACAUUGGAUCCACCCCUGCUUAUUAUUUAACCUUAGCCAACAACAAAUUCGUUGGUCCAAUCCCACGUAGCAUUGGACAAGCUCCGAAUUUGUUGGAAAUUUUAUUCUUGAACAACUUGCUCACUGGUUGCAUUCCUUAUGAAUUAGGCCUUUUGAAAAAAGCAAUUGUGAUCGACGUUGGAUUUAACACAUUAACUGGUCCAUUACCACGUUCAUUAGGGUGUUUGGAAAGUGUGGAACAAUUGAAUUUUGCUGGAAAUUUGUUAUAUGGACAAGUUCCAGAAGUGAUAUGUUCACUAAAAAAUUUAGUGAAUUUUACUUUGUCAUAUAACUAUUUUACAAAAGUAGGGCCACUAUGUAGGGAAUUGAUCGAUAAUGGAGUUCUUAAUGUUGAAAAAAAUUGUAUAAAUGGUCUUCCUAAUCAGAGAUCAAUAUUGGAGUGUGUAUUAUUUAGGAUGCAAAUUAAAUUGUGUCCAUUACAGAAGAGCUUGAGGAUCAUACCUUGUAAUAUUUCUAAUUUUAGUCCCCAUAGACCACUUAGACCAGAAAGACAUUUGAUUUCAUACUCUGCUUUGUCAAAACAUACAAAAUUGUAUUAAUGAAACCUUUGUUUUAGUGUCUUCUUGAUUUUUCUUUCCUUUUUUUCUAUGUUUUCUACCUGGUGUCCGGUACUACAGUUCAUCUCACAACUUAUUAUAGCAAAGGUUGUUUCCUGAUUAUUCAUUUGGUAUUUGAAAUUUAUUCAUCUGACUAAUUUAAAUUUGUACCGAAUAGGGCCUAUUGAAGGGAAAAAUAGCUCGAAUUCAAAAUCAUUAAUUAAAGACAAGAGAAAUGUCAUUUUAUCAUGCAAUACUCCUUGAUAAUUUAAUGCUGCAAAGUCAAUGGGACCUUGUGUUUUUUUGUUUUUAGAUUUGAGGAUAUAAUUAGCCGCAUGAAUUUUGAUGUGCCACUAGAACUACUUUUUGGGUCAAGCAAAAUAGUGGUGGAAAUGUUGUGUACUGUUAAGGGAAAAGUAAUUUUGUGUAAGCUAUUUGUUAUAUUGGGAGAUAGCAUCUAAACUACUCCCUGUUUACUUUUAUUUAUCUAAUAUUUUAAAGUAUAUUUUCAAUUUUUAUUAAUACUUUUAAUAAAUCAAAAAAAGAUAAUUAUGUUUUUUUAAUUUACUCUCUGCAUUAAUUACUUAUUUUUCAAAUCAUAUUAUAAGACCUAAGACUAUACAUCAAUUAAAUUAUUAAUAUGAGACUUGGGGUAAAAAUACUUCUCAUUUGAUGUUGUUACAGGGUAAGUGCGUUUUUUUUAUUUGGGAACAUGGUAAUUGAAUUUCAUUUCAAGCCACACAAAGUAGGAGGCAAUAUUGUGCAGGUUCCUUUAUUUAUUAUUAUUAUUAGAAGAAAAGGUUACCUGCAUAUUGUGAGAAUUUUAAUUUGAAAAAAAAAAAUCAUUGGAACUUCAAUUGGUACAGUAUUUGGUGUAAUGCUACUGCUCCAGCCUUCCAGAGGGGACAACACAACAACAACAAAAGUCAAAUUUUGAAGUCAAUAGUUAGGCCUUAGGGGUCGUUUAGUUACCAUGGUGGAAUAAAAUAUGGCAUAGCUGAUCCCUUUCAUUUUAUUUAAUAUUAAUAAUAUAUUCAGUAUAAUUUUAUAUGUGAGUUCUUAAAAGAGUCUAAAAUAAAAUAUAUACAAACCUUACUCUGGUUUUUACAACAUAAAGAUAUUAUUUUCGAUAAACCCUUGACUCAAAAAGAUAUAAUCAAAGCAAGAUAGAAAGAAAAAUGCAACCAAGAUAUAAAGAAAAAGAUGCUAUAUAAACGCUAAAUAAGAAGAAGACGAGAAUAAAAGACUAGCUUCCUGCCUCUCCAACAUAUAAGUACGACAACAACCAGCUAUAUAUUAUUCUUUUACCCUAAUCCUUGCCUCCCUACAUUCAUAUCUAAGAUCAUAUCCUCAUCUCCCCCAAAUUAAAGCUAGUUUGGAUUUGAAUUUUAAAAAAAAUAGUUUUUAAGUCAAAAAAUAAAAAGUAGGAGGAGAUCUACUUCUGAUUUUUAUCAUUUUUUAUUUAUUUUAAGUUAUUUUAAACUUUGUCAAACACUUCAAAGAGUUAUAAAUGACUUGAAAGUAUGUUUGACCAACUUUUAAAUCAAUCCAAACAGAAUCUUUAAUCUUCUUCGAUCUACCUCUAACUAUCCUAAAACAAGAUAGUCACCCUCUCACACAUCCCUAUUGGUGCUUCCACACAUCUUCUCUUCAAUGUCCACACUAUUUCAAUCUCGUUUUCCUCAUAUUGUCCGGCGACGCCACCCAGGCCACUCUCAUCUUGUCCUCUAUAAUUUUAUCUUUAAUCUUAUAUCUCCUAUUAUGUCCAAAUUCAUAUAAAAAAAUUCACCUUCACUACCUUCAUCUUUUAAACGUGUGCUUAAUAUUCAUAACCAAACAUAAAUAAAAUAAUCACGUAAAAUAUUCAAAACUAAUAUUCCUUAUCCCACGAAUCAAAUGACCUCUUAUGGGUUGUUUGGUAUGGGGGCUGAAAUUGUCAAAAUUAUCUCACCAUAUAUAUAUAUAAUAUAACUUACUCCAUCAUUAUAGUACAAAUCAAUGAAAUAAAUAAUUUCAAAAUUAAUUUAUUCCUGAUCAGUACUACUUAAGUAGUCUUCCUUGCUCUCCUAUUCAUGGUAUCUAAAAAAUGUGGUAAUAGUACUAUGAAAUGACAUGGACCAUUCAGCUAAUGGCUUAGUGGGCCAAUAAUAUUUAAGACAUACAACAAAUUAUAGAAGACCCAUCAUAGGCCCAAUAUUGAAAAUAAAGAAAGGGGCCCAAAUCUUCUCCGUGCAGAUUCUUCGUUAAGGGUCAAUAUUAGUAGUAUUAUUAUUUUUAUUUUUCCCUCACCGACACGUUCACCGCCGUAAAGCCCGUUAAGUUUUAGACUUUUAUCACGUGAGCCACGUGAUCCGCCAUAAAAGAAGAAUGAGCCCAUGGGCCUACUAGGCCCACUGUUUUUUUAACUGACGGUCCACGUGAAUUCUGCUGACACGUUAUCUCACGCUCGCUUUGAAUUAUUCACUCACACGCGUCGCACAAUCUGAGUCGUGUAACAUUAACGCUUGCUCAAUGCGCGUGGGUAAUCAUUUUUUGAGAAAAAACUCAUUCCAAAUUUUCGAAUUCAAUCACCGACGAUUCAUCCAAAAUUUGAAACACAAGUGUCUGUCGCCUCCUCGUUUGGAUUUUUAUAUAUCACCACCUAACUCAUAAAUUAGAUUUUUGGAUUACACUGUUUGUAAAUAAUUUUUUUAUAAAAAAAAUCUGUUAUUCAAUUUGAUAUAGUAAUGUUAGUUUAAUAUUUCCAAAGAAUUCUGAAAGUUUUUGUUUUCCAUUUGAUUUGACUUCUGAUAAACAAUUAAAAUUAUUAUUCCACCAUUUAGUCCAAAAUUGAGGGAAAAUUUGUUUCUAUUUUCAAUAUUGAGGAUACAUAUAACAAAUCUUUUAUUCUUGAUUCAAAUUUUAUUAGAUCGAAAUCGGACACAAAGUGAAGAAAAAAAAACAUGUACCAAACCUACCAUUAAGAGAGAAAAUAGUGAUUUUUGGCUAAUAACAGAAGUUUCCUAAGCUAAAACUGUUUUCUUUGUCAGACUCUGUUUAAGUACUUGAAAAAUUCUUGCAAAAAUCUAACCGCAGAGAUUUAAUUUAAUGAUUUGAAGUGUCAUUUUCAGCUAAACGAGGUUUUUAGAGUAAUUAAUAUAGUAACUAAAUCAAAAGAAGAAGACAGCUAAAAUUUUGAAAAGCAAUAUUUGAGUUCAUCAUUGCUUUAGCUUCUAAAUAUUUCACACUUGAAAAACCUAUGAAAUAUUACAGAUUACUCAUAUCUAUAAACUUGAUAAAAAAGAAAAAGACAUUGGCUUCGUGUUUUUAUUUUUGGCUCAAACAGAAGAAGAUGAUGAUGUUGUGGGAGAUGAAGAAGGAUCAAAGACUGAGCAAAACUCAAACCUAUUAGCUUCCAUCUUUUCCACCACGAAAUGCCCCAACAAUUCUUUCGUUUCCACCAAAUUCUCACUGCACAAGAACUCUUCACUGCAGAUUUUCUCUACAUUUCUGUCGAUUUCGUGAACGAAAACAUGGGUUUUGUCGGAAUUACCUCUCUUGCUCCGGGCAAAAACGCCGGCGGUAAAUAUAGCCGUCAUCCGUCCCGGAGCGGCAGAGGAAAACCCACGUGGCCCGUCAAUCAAAAUGACAUCCCACGGCACAUCGUAUAUGUGAUUUGGUAGGUCAUUUAUCCCCAAUUUACAGUCGGAAAAUAGAAGAUUCUGCACAGGCCGGCACUCCCCUCUGAGCUGCUCUUUCGUGUAAUCCAACAAAUCGUGCAAUUCACUAACUUUAGUCGUGAAUUGAACAUCGUAAGCUUCAAUUUCCGGGUGCUUCUCUUCUAACUUAGAUACCAAAUAAGCACUUUCGUCAACAAAAACCGUACGCCCUUUGUGAUUGAGCGAAUGCCACAAAAGGGUUUCGUGAGUAAGACCAAAAACAAGGAAAUUACAAGGAGCUUUACAACGGCGGAGCACAUUAGCGAUCGUCUUCAGCUCCACCGCCGACAUGCGGGAAGAAACAGUAGACGAGUUCAAAGAAGCAUAAUGAAGAAGCGCGUUAAAUACAGUCGCCGGCAACGGAGAGCUACCGGCGGCGGUAUCCGUGCCGGUUUUCGCGAUGGGUAUCGCAUCCUUAGCAGUGAAGAAAGUAAGUGCAAAAGCAAAAGUGAAAAAGGAAAGGAAAACAAGAAACCAAAUACGAGGUGAAGCAGUAAUUGUUCCUGAUCCUUGCUUGUGAAGAGAUGGGUGAAAAACUAUAAGCUUAGCAUUACUAGCCUUCAUUCUCUCUCUCCCUGUUUUUUUCUGAUUUUUCUUUCGCUGAUUUCUUCACAUGAAAGUAUACAGAGAUAUUCCGGAGGGAUUAGGGAGAAAAAAGCAGCACGACACGAUUACCUAGAUUUCUGUACGUGAGAUUUCUCUACUUUUUUUUUUUUUCCUCCCUUUAUAUCUUUUUGUAUUUAAAAAUCUGAAAGCUUAUAACUAUUGUUGGACGAAAAUAAUAAUAUAAUACGAGAAUGAUUUGAGAGAGAGGGUGUUGGGAAGCUAUAUAAAAUUAAAAAAUUGGAGUUAAUGGGAGGAGGUGAUAAUGAAGUUCUGAGGGAUUUGGUUGUUGUUUGGCGAACCGGCAAGAUAAACCAGCAAUAUUAUGGCGCUUAAAUAAGGAGGGACGGGAGGGUGGAUUAAUAUUUUAUUUUUCCGUGUUUUUUGGGUCAGUUUAUUUUAAUUUCUAAUUAUAUGAUAUAUAAAUAUUUGAUGGUACAAUAAUUCUAGAUCUAAAUUUGGAAAUUCAAUACAUAGAUUAUUAAUCGAAUACUAACAGCUAAGGUUAAAGAGACUCAAGGGUGGAUGAAUUUGAGAACAUAGAGAUAUUUGAAUAUAUUCAUGUAAGUUCAUUUUUACUUGUCAUAUUUGAAUUUGAUAAGAUCAUUAUCCCUCUAUUUUUAUUUGUAUGUCACCGUUUUAGAUUUUACGUCCCUUAAGAAAUUACUUCCUCCAUUUCAAAUUAAUUAAAUUGUUGAGACAUUUUCUAUUUUUCAAAUUAAUUUAAUUGUUCAAUCUUUAAGACUAUUUUAAGAAUAUUCUCCCUUCAUUAGUUAGUAUUAGAAUUAGUUAUUAUAGUUAAUGUUUAGUUAUUUUAAUCAUAAAUUUGACAAUAAUUAAUAAGGGUAAAAAUGGAAAGUUAUGCCUAAUUUAUGUAUCUUCUUUUCUUAAAGGAUGUGAAACACCUCAACAAUUUAAUUAAUUUGAAAUGAAUAUGUAAGUUUAUCAUUAUAUUUUUAUUUAGUAUUCUCUUGCAAUCAAGUUUUCAAUAAAUGAACAUAAACUAGUUUAUUUUGAUUAAUUAAAUUGGUCAAUAAAUAUGAAUUAAUCAUUUAGUUUUCUCGUGAUCAUUCAAUGUUAAUAACUCCUAAAGAUAAAAUAGAAAGAAUAGUGCUACUUAUGUAUUGAUUUGUGAAAUGACAUUUAUUAAAAAAUAUCUAUUUGUUUUUAAUAAAUAUGACAUAUAAAUAAAAACGAAGGAAGUAAUAGAGUAAUGUUUUGAUUAUUAUUUGAAAAUAUACCCUGCAAUAAAUAUUCUAAAAUGAUGGAAGAAAAAGAAGCAGUGUACUCAAAUAACAUUUUAUAAUGUACCCCUUUAAUCUUUCUCGUGUCAAAGAGAUUAGAAUGAACACAAAUCUUAUUUUUAUAUUAUAUAGUAAAAAGACUGUUUUUAAUAGAGAUCCGACUCAACAUAAAUGUGAUCAUCAAAUAUUAUCAGUUAAAUUAUAAUGUAUCAAAAAUAUCUUUUAAAAUUAUGAUCUUAAAAAUAUCAUGUGAAAAAUUAAAAUUAAAAUUAAAAAAUUAAUAAAAUUAAUUGCAUAUUUUUUUAAACGAAAUAAAAGAAUAAUAGAACAAAAAAAAAAUUGAAACAAACUUUUAAAACAUUCGGCAUGUGUCAAUACUUUUAAAGGGCAAGAAGUAUUUGCAAUUUUCAGUCUUUAAGAGGAGCACGUUACGUUCAAGCUUAAUAGGUAAUUAAAAUGACAAGGAGUGUUUUUAUUUUAAUAGGUUCUAUGAUAUCAUAAUUAUUUUAAGUUUUCUUUCUUAUAUUGGAAAGAAGAGUCCGCUGAAUGUAAUAGAACUCACAAUUCAAUUUAAAUUGUCUUUAUUAGGAAUUAAUUAGCUCGAGGGAUUUGAACAAUUAGAUCUGUUAAAAGUGUAUUUGCUGAUUCCGUUUUAGCACUUAACAUCAAAGCUACAAAUACAGAGAGUUCCAUAUGGAUUUUGUUGUUGAGAGCCUAAAUUAUAUAAUUACCGUUGGGUUUAAAUAAGGUAUUAAAUCGUAACAUGUAUUGGGUCAUCCAGUGAUUAAAUAUUGUCAUAACAACACAAGGGUGUAAUGACAUUAAAUAAUACUUCAUAUGUCCAAUUAUUAUGACAUAAUUUGAAUUUCGAUACUCAAACAAUAUAAGUUCAAUCAUGUAUUUGAUAAUGAAAUCUUCAAAAAACUUAAAUAAAAUUUAUAUGUAUAUACAUAAAAAGUAUUAUAAGCCAAACACAAUCCAAAAUAUAUAAUCUCACAAUUGUACAAAUAAUUUUAAAAAAAACAUUUUGGUGGAAUGACGCCUUUUCUUUUUUUAACUUUAGCAAAGUGAAAAGAACAUCAUAUUGGAAUAGACAUAUUAUUAAUUUAACAAGGGAAUUAUUUUAAAUUAAUGUUAAGUAAUAACCACUAAUGUCAUUAGACUAUACUAAAAAGAACACGUUCAUGCAAUGAUAGAUUAAGUGAAUUUUAUCUCUAAAAAGGAAAAUCAUGACAAUUAAAAGUGAACAGGGGUAUCAAUUUAUUCUUUGACUUUAUUAAAUUUAAAGUUUUAAGAAUGUGUUAGAUGAUAAAAAUUAUUUAAUAGUAAGGGCAAAAUAGACACAAAAAGUAAAUUAUUUUUUAAUUUUCUAAGCUAGACAAGUAUUGUUGGAUAACUAUUUUUAGUAUAGUGGACAAUUAUUGUUGGACGGAGGGAGUACAUAUUGUUAGGACCGAAAAUAAGAAGGUAUAAUGCGGAAGCUAGCAAAGCGAACCUCAAAAGACCAUGAGUUAGAAGACAAACGAGAAAUUUACCAAAAGACACAAAGAUUUAACGUAGUUCGGUCAACCGACCUACAAAGGAGAUGAGCAAUCCAAUAUAAAUAUGAGAGUACAAAAUAUAGAGAGAAACAAAUAAUAAACAUUUUGGUGGAAUGACACCUUUUCUUUUUUAACUUUAACAAAGUGAAAAAAACAUCAUAGUGGAAUAGACAUAUUAUUAAUUUAACAAGGGAAUUAUUUUAAACUAAUGUUCAGUACAACCACUAAUGUCAUUAGACUAUACUAAAAAAAACAGGUUCAUGCAAUGAUAGAUUAAGUGAAUUUUAUCUCUCAAACAUAAUUUAGUUUGGUAACACAUAAUUAAAUUAUUGUUAUUCACAUUCUUUUGAAGUCCUUAUAAAAUUCACUGUACAUACAAUAUUAAUAAAAACUUAUAACAGUACAUCUCCUCUAUCAACUGCGGCAAUAUUGCACAAUUAUUCAGAAAAAAAAAGAAAAGGAAUACCAAUAAGUUUGAUAUUGACAUCUAAUCUAAUUUAAUUUAAUUUAUUUAUUUCAUGAUAUUGACAUAUAGUUACUGUCCCUAUUCCGUAAUUAGUACAUUCCUUAACUCUAAUAUAAAUUCAUAUAAUUAUAGUACCCAAAAAUGUACAAACACCUCACAUUUCACAGUAAUUACUAUAGUAUAAAAUUAUUUGAAUGUGGGCCUUGUCUAACGUACUUGUUCGAAAUUGACCAUAUAUUUUGUUGUUAUUAGUUGCAGUUAUAUCAUUUUCCUUAUUCAUAUAGUAAUUUAUAUUGAACUGUGAAUUCCAUAAAUGUGGCCAGGGCCAAGUUUAGGAAAAUCGACUACUGUUGAGGUGCAAAUUAAUGAUUGUUGGAGGUGUGUCACCACAUAUUUAAAAAUAUGGGUGGGUGUAGUAUGGCUAUAGGAUAUUAUUCCAACAACCGCUAUUGCGCUUGUUAAUUUAAAAUUAUAGAUCUAUCUUUGUUUAAAAUUUCUUCGUGUAUCUAAUAAAAGAAUUCGAUGAUUUUUUUUGGUAAUUGAUCAAGAUUACAUUCAUCACAAAGGUAACGUAAAAUUACGAAGCUAUAGCUAAGCUAAGAGAACAACUUGCUAUUAUAAAAUCAAAAACAAAUUAAAUUGAACAAGAGAAUUAAAAGGAGUAAAGUAGUAUAUAUAGAUAAGUUGAUGAACAAUUUGUAUAAUCCCUUUACUGGCUCUAGAGUGGGGGUGGCGCCAAAAUCAAAUCCAAUCCGCAGCUCAAUCCGAUUAAAUUUGGGUUGGUUAUUGAUCCAUUCAUUCAUUAGCUUAACCCAUUCAACUCUCUAAAAAUAGGGUUGACAUAUAACCCGAGUCAACAUAUUUUUUUAAAAAAAAUAAUUAAUUUGAUAUGUUAUAUAUAAUCAUAAUAAAAAAUAAAAUAAAAAUAUUAGGUACUAAAAUAGUUUUUAAAAAACAAAUAAAACAAUUGAGUUGAGUCUUGACUCGUUAUAUAACACUUUUUGACCCAAAUAAAUUAGGAUUGAAUUAGAUCUUGACCCAAUUAUAUCUAUUUUGACUCGUCCAAAUUUAACUCAACCUGCUCAAUUUUCAACCCUCCUCUAGAGCUACCUAGCUCCUUGGCAACUGAAUCCCUUUUUAUUUUAAUAUAAUAUAUCACAACUAAAACUGUGUUAUGAACGAAUAGUCUCUUACGAGACAUAAGUGAAAAGUUCGUAAAUUAUGUGUUAGAUGCAAAGUAAAAGCAUGUGGGUCAUAUAUAAAUCACAAGUGGGUGGGAAAUAAGUGUUCGGUUUUGGUUUUUCAAGUUGGGGUCGAUUUAUUAUUUGAUUUCGCGUUUGGUAUAAGGGUCUCAAAAUUUUGAUAUAUCAAAAAAUCAAAUUUUUAAUAAAAUAUUUUAUUAAAAAUAUAUAAAUGAACAUUUCUUUGACAAAAAAAAAGGUCAACCAACAAUUAAAUCAUUCAUAAACUAAUCAAAGUAACAACAAAUUUAUUAUUCAGAUAGUUAACUUCAACUAUUAAUUCACAAAAGGACUAAAAUGUUUUUUUGUCGAUCUACGUCAUGUGAAGGAAUCCGUCUGCGUCUUUAUAUUUCUCGAGCAAUAGUUGGAGGCAUAAUGUUCUUGACAAAGACAAAUAAGAUCUUCCAAGCACAAUAAGUGUUUCAUGGUGCAACACAUCAUCACUUAACGUAGUUUUAAAUUUUUAAGUGUCUUAUAUUUUAAUUUUGUUCUCAUUUUAUUUUUCAUUCAGACUGAAAAAUAAUUUUAAAAACACCAAAUCAAACCGAACCGAAUUAGUUCGGUUCGAUAUUUGGUGCACAUAUUUUCAAAAUCAAAAUUUGAUAUAAUCAAAUUGAAGAACCGAACGCGUACCCUAAUUAAGGUUAUCAUGUGAACCUAGUAAUUUUUGGUUAAAUUUCAUAGAAGUCUUGUAUUAAAAUGUUAUUUCCUUCGUUCAUGUUUUCUUAUUUGUGUUUGAUUUAACACAUUCUCAAGAAAUAAUAAAUAAAAUAUUUUAUAAUAUCAUUUUUAAUUAUUAUAAGUCAUCUGAAUAUUAUAAAAUAAAUAAUACUUAAUAAUAAAAAUAAAGUAAAUAUGAAAAUUAUAAAUUAUUUUUAAAUUUUUUGAAGUGAACCAGUAAAAUUGAACAUGUACUAAUUAAAUAUUGUUAUAGUAAGCGCGAGAAUGAACGGUAAUUAUAAUUUUUGGGUCAAAAAGUGUAAGGUUGUUAGAGAAGUGACAACAUACCGCUCCGCACUUAACGCCUAAUUGCAGUUUUGGUCAUUGUGUUUACUCUUUAAUUUGCUGUUUUUUCUUAAUCCAAUUACAUGUGCUAUUGUGACGACUGGAUAAGCUUUAUUAUUACUCCCUCUGUUCAAUAAUAUUUGUUACUUUGCACAAUUCUUAAAUUAUAAAUAGAAGGGUAAUUUUUUUAUAUCACAUUUUGAUUAUAAUAAAUUUAAUGUCUUGAAAAAAUGUAAUGAGGAAAUGACUAUAAUUAAUGAUAAGGGUAAAUUAGAAACUAAAUGUAAAAUUAUUCAUUAAUUUUAUAAGAUAAACAACUAUUAUUGGACGGAAAGUACUCAUUUUCAAUUUUCAUGCCUUGUUUGUUGCUAUAAUUAUUAUGUGCUUGACUUCAACUUUUUUAAUCAAAUCAAAUCUUUUGGAUAUAUAGCAAGCAAAUUUCAUUCCUCUUUUUGAGGAAAAGGACUAUUGUUGAAUUAGUUUAAUUAGAGUAGUAUUUUUAGAUUGUGUGGUUUAAUUUUUGUAUUAAUAUAUUCAAAGUUAAGUAAUUUUUGUGGAAAAAUCUUGAUUCAAAUUUUUGUAUUUUCCUCAAAUGACCGAAAAGAAAUUUAUGCAAAUUUGGUUGUGUUUAUAAACUUUUAAACUCAAAUAUAAGGUGAGACCUCAGAAGGUUUUCCUCCUAAAUAUAUAUAUAUAUAUUGAUAAACAAUUUUAAGUGAAAUUUUAUUAUAUAUAAUCUAGGAGAGUAGAAUAUACGUAGAUCUUAUCAGUAUCUAAUAGAAGUAUGAAGACUAUUUUCGAAACUUAAGUAACAAAAGAAGAAAACCAUAUAGAAAGCAUAACAAUUUUAAAAAAAAUUAUAGGAUGAAAUGAGAAGAAAAUAUUGUGCCAGAAUGCAUGCUUCCUAUUAUUGCUAUCUUUUUCUCCAUAACUUACUUUAUUUUAUAUAAUAUAAAAAUAUAAUGUAAAUAAGACCACAAACUUGGCUUUUAGCUAUGACUUGAUUUGAAAUCCUUUUUUCCCCACCUUGUGCCCUAUGUCUCGAUUUUGGAUUUUGAAUAGUUUAUAUUUGCACAACGUAAAACACAUUCAAAAAAAAAUUGCUCUAUAAUAAUAGAAUAAAAAAUAUAUAUUCCAUCACAAUCUUUGGAUCGUUUUAAUGGUGAAAUCAUACUUUCAAACAAAUAAUGAUGAGGAAUCUCUGCUUUUUUUAAGGCAAAGUACCAAAGGUAAUCAAAUUAGUGGGAAGACCAUAAGAAGUGUCUUGCCAUAAAGAAACAACUUUUAUAAAAUUAAUAUUUUCCAACCAUCUUCUUUUGAUUAAUUAAUAAGAAAAAAAAAGCUUUUCCCAAACACAACGUAAAUCAAGCCUAUAUUGAUUAUUACUACGUUAAUCAUUCUUGUUUAAAGGCUUAAGCCUUAAACAUAAUAAUGCACACCGCUCUGUGUGUAGUCCCAUUAUUCUAGUUGUCCUAGAGUACAAAAUGUUAAUUUAAAAAAUAAAAAAUAUUUCGAGAAUAUCCUAUUUCUUUUUAGGUGUGCUGAAUAUAGUACGUUUUUAAAUAAGUCCCCUUUUCAAUAUGAUGAAACACCAAAUAUUUUUAAACAUCAAUUUUUUUGUUAAAUUCAUUUUGUUACGGAUUAAGGAUAAGAGUAUACAAAAAAUCAAUUAACUAGAAACUUUUUAGCACCAAAUUAACUGGAGAUUGCUGAUAAACUUCAUAUUUUUUAGUGAUGAAACCAUUUAAAUUUAAUCAUCCUUAAGUAUUUAAACAUGUAUAAAAUUUGGAAACAUAUAAAAACCAAUAAUAAAGCACAAAGUCGCAAACAAUAACAAAAAUAUAUUACUCCCUCUAGGUCAUUUUUUUUUACCUAUUGUACCCUCAAUUAAUUAUUUUGAAAAAAGUAGAACUUUUUGAAAAUCUUAAGUUUUUAAUUCAUCCAAUUCCUAAUUAAUAGGGGUAAAAAUGGUAAACUCAUUAUGUCAAUUUUUUUUAAUAGGUGUGUUUGCUAGGAGAAUAUUUUCCAAAAAACAAAAAGUAAUUUAAUGAUACUUGAAAAUUGAAACGACGGAAAUCAUUUUCUAGGGAAAAAAAAGAAAUCGAUUUCAUAAAAUUUAGCAAAAUGACAUAAAUCUCAUUUUCCUUGCACAUAUUUUAACUUUUAAUUUUUUAUCACUUGAUUCAACUAUAAUAAUCUAUAUAUAUGUUAUUGUGAAUCUCUACAUUCUCUUUUAUCCAAAGUUUCAUCAAAAUACUAUGUAAUUUGUUGAUAUUAGUAUUAAUAUUUAUUUAUUUAUUUGAUUUUUUUUCAUUCACCGUCCCAGCAUGGAAAACAUUUUCCAUUCCAAACACACCCGUGCAAUAAUUCAGAAUGUAUUAGUCAAAGAGGAAAUUGCAAGAAAUAAUUAUUAUAAUAAAAUAUCUUAUAUUCCUCUUUGGUUGUACUCUCAUGUAUCAUGUAUGGGUCAGAGAGGAAGUUCAGAUUCUGUAUGAUGAUUUUUUAAAAAUCAAAUGCGUUUAUUAAUUAAAAAAAAUUCCCCUCGGAUUUAGACUUUUCUUGUCAAAUUGCUUGAGAAAAUUACAUAGUUUGCACUUGUUAUAAUAUAUGGUAACUUGGUCUCAUUUAAUUUGGAUAUGAUUUGAAAUCAGAUUAAUUUGAAAUUAAUUUUUUUGACUAGAUAUGCAAUUCAAAUUUCAUAAGUUAUGUUUUAUUUUUUAAUCAUAAACAUGAAAAUCUCAAAAAUUAUGAGAAUUAUCAUAAUUUUUUUUUGAAAUUUAUAUAAUCUUACCAAAUAAGCAACUCACAAUUCAUAAAUAAGACAUCGAAAUAUCCUAAGGCAAUGUAUUGAUAAAUCAUAUAUCUUCAUGUUCCUUUUAUAAAUAAAUAUUUAUCGUUACAAACUUUUAAAUACACAUAAUUUUGUAUAUAAAGAUUUAUUAGUUAACAAUUGUAGUAGUAACUAGUUUUUUUCAAUAUAAUCCUUUUGUUUGGUACAAACAAGCUCUUCACCCGGAUCAUAAGUUUUUUUUCUUUCCAAAAUUUAAAAUGAUGAAAUAAUUUUUAUAAAAAUAUAAACUUAUGAGUCAAGUUUUACAUUUAAAAAGAAUGAAAUCACAAUUAAUUGGAAUCUCAAAUCCAAUUUUUUUUUGGAGAAUUUACAAAUUUAAAAUCAUGAUCUCAAAUAACAUAUUUGUGAAAUCCCACUAAAUGAGGUAUGGGGAGGAUAGAAUGUACACAAUCAUUGUCACCAUUUUGUAAAAGCAAAUAAACUAUUUUCGAAAGACCCUCAACUCAAGUGUUCAAUAGCUGAUUUAAACUCAUAAUUUCAAAUCACAUAUUCAAAUGCCUAUUUGAAUUCCCCAUUCUUUUAAUAGCACUAGUGUUUCUUGAGUCAUCAAACACAGCCUCCUCAUGGGCCAUGGCGUUAUCAACCACCCAUAAUCAUCGAAUGUACCAGUCUUACGUCAAACUAAACUGUACAAGAUAAUUUGAGAAUAUAUCAUUGGUUUUUUUUUUGUUAUAUAAAAAUAGGAAACUCAUUUAUAUUAGGAAUAUAUUGUUGUCCUCUAUUGGAGGAAAAUGAAGAUUUUAUUAGGUUUAUAUGGAAAAAAAUCUACACUAACUUAUAGAAUUGAAAAUAUCGACAUAGAGUUAGAAUUUUAACUUUAAAUAUUUUUUUAAGUAAUAAUAAUUGAGUUUUAAAUGUAAUAUUAUAGAUAUUUACUGAAUUUCAUAACACAAACACAUAAUUAAAUGGCAAAUUUUGUUCUAUUUUAAAAGGAAAUAUUGUAAGAGUAUUAAAAAAAUCUCAAGAACAUACAAUGAAUUAUAUGAGUUCAAAAUUAAUUAAAGUUUUGUUUAUAUUAAUUAAGAGUACUUACUAACGAACAUAGCGGGAUAAGAGAUACAUUUAUUUUCUAAUAACUAUAUUUAAUGCAUGACCUGUACAUUGCCUCUCUCAAUUUAUUACUAUUAAUAAAAUACUUCACUUAUAUUAUAAAAAAAACAUAAAUGGUGCUUUGCACCAAUAUUUGAUCUGUAUUCUUCAUACUAGUACUAUUUCAUGCCCAAGGGGGAAAAGUAAAAAGUUUCCUAAUCAAGAUAGGUGUCACUGAGUCAUUAUGCACUCGAAAGUGAAUUCAUUUUUAGAAUUUACGUGAGAUUAUUUGACUGGAUAUAAAAAAAAUCACAAAAAAUUAUAUAAAGAAAACGACUAAUAAUAAAAUAGUGUUACAUGAAUUAUGAUAAAUUUGUAUAAGUAUAAACUAUUGAAAACGAAUAAUCUUGGCGCCCAUUGACAAUCGUUUGUCUCCAAUAUUGAAAUUCUAUGAGUACAUCAUGAUUCAUGAAGAUGAUUUAUUUUCACAUUAAAAAGAAGAAAAUUCAGGGGGAAAAAAUAUUACGUCAUAUUUAUUGGAUUUCUGACCAGAAAAUAUAAUUAAAUGAUACUCUACAUGACAUCAAACGUAACUAGUCUAAGUCACAAGUUAAGGACACACAUACUUAACAACACAACAACAAUAUAAUCCAGUCAUGACUCAUGAAUCAUGCGAUCGAAUUUUGAGAGAAUAGAAUAUACACUGAUUUUUUAAAUUUUUGGUAAGAUAGAUAAUAUAUUUUCGAUAAACUUUUGGCUCAAAUAGAAAAAAGUUCGAAGUAUGACAAUACAAAUGUAUAACAAUAAAAAAUCAAAGGUACAAAACAAAUGAAGAAAGGGAAUAUUAAAAGAGGGUAAUACAUGUGGAAGAAAGGAAAACAACCUGAUUACUAUUUAAAUUACUAAUUUGUGGUGAUUUUUAAUUUGACAUUUUAAGUUGUAACUAAUAACGACAUCAAUUUAUUAUUAAAAAACAAUAAAAAAUUAAGUGAUACUCCACAUGACGUCAAACUAGUCUCAGAAGUCACGAGUUUAGGACACAUAUUUUAAUUGCUAAGUUGGAGAAAAUUUUAAUCUAACAUUUUAAAUGUGAAUUAAUGACAUCAAUUUAUUUUUGUAAAGAAAAAAAAUAUAUUUGACUUUGAGUUAGUUUGAUCUUUCGAUUAUUUUAUUUAUUGACAUAGUUUUAUUAUUUUAAGCAAAGUCUACUACUUUGAUUUGACGUUGCAUGUGUUGAGCGUGAUAUCCCUACUAACAUAUUUAACUCAAAUCUUUAAAUUAAAUUAAUUUAACUAUUUAUUUCCAAUCAUUUUAGUCUACUUCUACUUUAAUUUCCAAGGGCCAAAUAUAUAUUUUCACUAAGAUUCUCAAAAUGUAUUAUAGUUAUCCGAACUUUAAAUUAAAUUAAUUUAACUAUUUAUUUCCAAUCAUUUUAGUCUACUUCUACUUUAAUUUCCAAGGGCCAAAUAUAUAUUUUCACUAAGAUUCUCAAAAUGUAUUAUAGUUAUCCGAACUUUAAAUUAAAUUAAUUUAACUAUUUAUUUCCAAUCAUUUUAGUCUACUUCUACUUUAAUUUCCAAGGGCCAAAUAUAUAUUUUCACUAAGAUUCUCAAAAUGUAUUAUAGUUAUCCGAACUUUAAAUUAAAUUAAUUUAACUAUUUAUUUCCAAUCAUUUUAGUCUACUUCUACUUUAAUUUCCAAGGGCCAAAUAUAUAUUUUCACUAAGAUUCUCAAAAUGUAUUAUAGUUAUCCGAAAUCUAAUAAAAUGACUGAUCACUAUACUAUUUACAAACAAGUUUUUAAAAUUUUUACUUUAGAAAGUUAAUCAAUCUCUAUCUGAUUAGACAAGAAAAUCGGGGGAAUUAAGCUAAAAAAUAGUGAAAGUAAAAACUUUAAAAGUUUGAAGCUAAUGGAUCAUUCAUUGAUGUAGCUCAAAGGCCACAGGCCCACAGCUACUUCGGCCCAAAAAUGAGAAAAAAUCUUUUGGGCUUACGCGGAAGCCAAAUAGCAGGAAAAUGGAUGGGCUUUAACUCAUUGGGUUGUUCGCCUAAAAUAAUUGGGAUUAUUUUCAAAUAUAUACAAUAAAGUAAUUAGUCUACAAUAAAUAUAAUCAUAUUUUAUUUACAUAAAAACAGCCAAAAAUCAUAGUAAAUAUAAACCAACUAUACGAUAUAGUUUGCCAAAUUCAUUGAAAGUAUACAGUGACUAUACGAUAUAGCUUACAUAUACAUUAGCUAUACACUGACUAUAUAUUAUGAUAUACUAAAAAACAUAAUAUAGCUUAACUAUACAUGAAAUAUACACUAACUAUACGUGAAGUAUACAAUGACGAUUCAGAGUAACUCCGUCUCGCUAAUUUUGAUGAUUGAUGAGAAGACAAAGUGAGAAAUACUUACCAUUCAUAGUAACUCCAUCUCGUCAAUUUUGAUGAUUGAUGAAGAAGACAAAGUGAAAUAUACUUACCAUUCAGAGUAACUUUGUCUAGUUAAUUUUGAUGAUUCUAUAUCAUGUUGACUAAACAAUGAUAUUAAUUACCUUAAUGAUUCUUCCACAUACGAUGUCAUUAUUAUUAUUUAAAUGAAAACGAAAAAGUACAUGUUUUUAAAUAAAACAUAACAAAAAUAAAAGGACAUUUCCAUGUGAAUCGAGUACUAGAAAUCAGAUUAAAAUUUAAAUAUAUCUAAUCAAUUUUAGUACCAUACGUACUUGCAUCUUGCAGCAAAUUAGUCAAUCCAUUGUAAGAUGAUCCUCCUUCUUCAAUAGCUUGUUUUGCCAUUUCCUUAUACUCUUUUGCUCUGUUUAUGAAUCCCUCUGCUUCUUCACUCACCAUUACUCUCUUUAUUGCUUUACUUAUUUCUUCCCUUUUCACUCCUUCACUUGCUGCUACCUCCCAUUUCACUGAACCAACCCCAACCCCAAUUCUCAAAACAUCAGUCACCAACUUCUCAUUCAAAAAUUGUUCAGCAAACAGGGGCCAUGUCACCAAUGGCACCCCUGCUGAUAUUCCUUCCAACAUCGAAUUCCAUCCACAAUGAGUCACGAAUGCUCCUACACCUUCGUGAUCAAGAAUCAACACUUGGGGUGCCCAUCCUCUUAUGAUUAAUCCUUUUUCUUUCGUUCUUUCCUCGAAUCCUUCAGGUAGACACGAGUCUUCGUUUUCUUGUUUGAAUUUUCUUUCUCUGAUAACCCAAAUGAAUUCUUGUCCAGAAUCUUCAAUUCCCAUUGCAAGUUCUUGAAUUUGUGAUCCAGUGAAUUUUACUCCGCUUCCAAAACAGAUGUAAACAAUAGAACUUGAUUUCUUCGAAUCAAGCCAUUUCAAGCACUCGUGUUUAUCGAUAGAGGAUUUCUUCCCUCUUUCUGUUUUAUCUUCAAUGUCCCUGUUGCACAGCGAAAGAGGCCCAAUAGCCCAUGAUUUAUUAUCUUGAACUUUGGUAUAAUGUUCAAAAUAAUCUGGUUCAAGUUCGUAGAAACUGUUGAAGAUAACUCCAUAGCUUUUCAAAUCCGCCUCCCUGACUUCAUGAAAUAUCUGGAAUAUAAUUGCCUCUUCCUCUCCUAGAUCAAACGGAGACAACUGCGUUGUGGUCAGCCUGAUUUGAUGAGGCAAAUUCGGUACAACAAAAGUUUCAGAAUCAGAUGACACAUUCUUGAAAGGCUUAUUACGUUUGAUGCUUUCCGCAACACAGAGAGCAAAGAAACCUGUGCCAUGGAAAACAAUUCUUGGAAUGUUGAAUUUGGCAGCAGAAUCAGUACUCCAAGGGAAUAACAUAUCUGAAACAAUACAAUCGGGACGACACUCUUUAACAAGAUUCUCAAAUGGUUCUUGCAUCAUAGCUGUAGCUUUGAAGAAGUUUUUGAACAAUUCAGGGGAAGGAACGAGAUCGAGGCGUUCACAUCCUUCAGGCAAAUCAUUCUCCACUGCUUGAAAUGUUAUCAAACGGAUGUCAAUUUCGAUACCCAAAUGCUUGUUUCUUUGAAUAGAAUCUGAGAAAACCGAUUCAUUGAGAGGGGUAGUGAUUAUAGUUGCCUUAACACCGCGUGAAGCGACGAGCUUAGCCAUGUCAAGUGUAGGAAUCAUGUGACCUUGAGCCAUCAGGGGAAAGAAGAAAAAAUGAAAUCGACUCAUACCUUCAAUUUUCAGUUUCUUUUUGGGAAUGAGCUUAUUCAGUUGUAAUUGAAGGAUUGCAAGAAUUACCAAAUGCAUCAUAUAUUAAUAGACUUUUUUGUUCGAAACAGGGAAACUGUUAAGAAAAAUUAUUGCCUUUGCUAUUACUCCACUUUGUAAUGUUCAUUGAAUUUUUGCCCUACAUGAUUUCAAAUUGUCGGCCACUCUUGAGCUACAUUGUUCAUCGACUCCUAUUCCCAUAUUUCUCAUUAAAAAAUUGCGCUGAGCCAAGUUACUGUUUCAAAUCCAGCAGUUUGCUGAUCAAGAAUCCUGACGACUUGGGAUUAGUGCUGUGAUGAUUGACAGAAGAACCAGGUCUUUAUCAGGUCUCAAUAAUGAGCUGGCAGUGUUUAUGAUUGACAAACAACUAUAGAAGAACAAGUUCCUUUGCAUGUCUAUUCCGAGGAACAAGUUUUAUGCACAUAGUGAAAGAUUCAAGUUCUUACUUAAAAUACGAUCGGAGACGACUGUUGAUCAAAUGCGACAAAGUAGAAAAUAUUGUCAUGAAGAACACACACAUCGAUCCAACUCUCUUGUUAGUUUUCUGGAUCUAAGUAUCCAAAAAUGACCAUUCUGGCUACUGUAUGCUUUCUACUUUAUGGCGGCGUAAAUAAAUCUCUAAGGGUCAUUUGGUAUGAGAGAUAAUAUUCCGGAAUAAAAUAUAGAAUUAUUUUAUGAUGCAUUUGGUUAGGAGUAUUAGUUAGUUCCAGAAUUAUCCAUCCCACCCAUUUAUACUAUAAUGAUGGUAUAAGCUAUAACUUUUUUCUGUCUCCCAUACCAGACAACCCCUAAGUUUUUCUUAUUUCAAUACUAUACAAACCAUAUAGUUAGUUACAAAUGUGUGAAUAGUCCUUUGAAAUUUAUAUUACGUGUAAUACUUGGUAAAAGAAAAAAAAAAGAUUACGUAACAAAAGAUCACACUUGUAGAGGGAAUAUGGUCAAACAAGAAUGACAGAAAAUGGUAGACCCAGAAAACUAUAGUCUAAACAUUGUCGGGCGACUAAUUAAAACUUAAAUGAAGGAUCCAACUAAACUUGAGAUCUGGCGUCUCAUAAUUUUGCAGCAUUCACAGAAGUCUUUGGCCUUAUGGAAGUAUUCAACAAUUGCGGAGAGACAUAUUCAAUAAAUCAAUUAGUAGUGAUUAUUCCAUUUUAAUUCUAUGUAUUAUUCACAUGUCCAAAUUUCACGACUUUGGAGCAAUUAGUCAAGAAGAGUUGUAGUUUGUUUUACUACCAUAGUACAUACGUCAUCUUCGUGUUUGUGAAUAAUAUGACGUGUGACGAAAGUUUUAUGUUGAUAAUCGAGGUAUCUGAUACGUUGAUUUCGAGAUGACUGAUCUUGGGUUGAAAUAUUCUUUUUGAAGUCAUUAAUUAUUAGAAGUGGUGACAAAAGGUAAUGAUCAAAUCAGCAAAACAGAAAACGUACACACGCAUAAUAUAGAAACAUACAUGUUUUUUUUUAAUCACUACUUAAUGACCUGUGGAAGUAUAUGAAGUUAUAUCUUGUAGCAAAGUAGCCCAUCCAUUGUAAGAUGAUCCUCCUUCUUCAAUAGCUUCUCUUGCCAUUUCCUUAUACUCUUUUGCUCUGCUUCUGAAUCCCUCUGCUUCUUCACUCGCCAUUACUCUCUUUAUCGCCUUUGCUAUUGCUUCCCUUUUCACUCCUUCACUAGCUGUUCUCUUCCAUUGCAUCGAACCAACGCCAGCUCCAGUUCUCAUUACCUCAGUCACCAACUUCUCAUUGCAAAAUUGCUCCGCAAAUACUGGCCAUGUCACCAUUGGUACCCCUGCUGAUAUUCCUUCCAGUGUCGAAUUCCAUCCACAAUGAGUAACGAAAGCUCCAAUAGCUUCGUGAUCAAGAAUCAGCACUUGGGGUGCCCAUCCUCUUAUGAUUAAACCGUUUUCUUUUGUUCUUUCUUCAAAUCCUUCAGGCAGCCAAUCUUCAUUGCCUGUUCUAAUAACCCAAAUGAAAUCUUGUCCAGAAGCUUCUAGUCCCAUAGCAAGUUCUUGCAUCUGUGCUGUAGUGAAAUCUGCUGUACUUCCAAAACAAACGUAAACAAUGGAACUUGAUUUCUUCGAAUCAAGCCAUUUCAAGCACUCGUGUUCAUCGAUAGAUGAUUUCCUCCCUCUUUCAGCUUUAUCUUCAAUGUCCCUGUUACACAACGAAAGCGGGCCAAUAGCCCAGUUUUUUCUACCCACAACCUUAGUGUAAUGUUCAACAUAAUCUGAUUCAAGCUCAUAAAAGCUAUUGAAGAUAACUCCAUAACUCUUUGCAUCCGAUUCCCUGACAGCUUUAAUCAUGGGAGUCAUACCCGUCUCUUCAUCCGAUUGCUCAAACGGAGACAAUUGUGUUCUAGUGAGCUUAAUUUCAUGAGGCAAAUCCGGUACAACAAAAGUUUCAGUAUCAGAUGUCACAUUCUUGAAAGGCUUAUUACGCCUGAUGCUAUCAACAACACAAAGGGCAAAGUAACUAGUGCCAUGGAAAACAAUUCUCGGAAUGUCAAAUUUGGCUGCACUAUCAGUUGUCCAAGGAAGGAACAUAUCAGAAACAAGACAAUUUGGGCGACAUUCUUCAAUAAGCUGCUCAAAUUCAUCUUUCAUCAUAGCUGCAGCUUUUAAGAAGUUUGGGAGUUUGUCAUCAGAAGGUAUAAGAUCAAGACGCUCACAAUCUUCAGGCAAAUCAUUCUCCUUAGCUGGGAAUUUUAGCAAGCGGAUAUCGAUUUCGAUACCCAAAUGCUUGUUUCUCUCAAUAGCUUUAGAGAAAACAGAUUCAUUGAGAGGUGUUGUGAUUAUAGUAGCCUUAACACCACGAGAAGCAACAAGCUUGGCCAUGUCAAGUGUAGGAAUCAUGUGGCCUUGAGCCAUCAUGGGAAAGAAGAAAAAAUGUAGCUGACCCAUUUGUGAAAAUGCUUGAAGGAAACAAAGAAAUGGAAAGUAUGGUUGUUUUAAGUUCUAAUUGCAUGAGUGUCACUUUAUAUAUACGUGGAAUUAUUAGUGACUUUCGUUGAAGUUGCAUAUAAGACUAACUUGUUAUUCAAGUUGGAAGUAGAGACGUAACGUAAGCACUCACGUGGUUGAUUUAACAGGCAAAACCAAACUACUCUUACCGGUUUGAUUGGUUUAAGAUCGGGAUAUUUAAUUUCAUGAUUAUAAUUUUUUUAAUUAAAAUCAUGGCUAUAACAUAUAUCAAUUUUUACAAAUACCUAUAAUCAAACAUGAGAUAUAUUUAAUUUCAAAAUUUAAAUCGGAAUUAACUUGCCUUAUCAAUGAAUGAAACGGCAGUAGUGGGGUCCAGGGUGUGGAGAUACCCAAUUUCUUGAGAUGCAAACUUACAGAAGAGAACAUUGUAGUAAGACCAAGUGCAGAUACAGGUGACAUAUGCCCUUCCGUCACAAGUCAAGUGAAACACAAUUUUUCCUUUUAUUAACCUUAAUUUAAGAAGGGGUGUAUUGUUCAAAGACGAAAACAUUGUUUAAAAGUAUGAGUGAGUCAGUUCGAUUGAGACAUUGGAUACUACUCCACCGUCCAUCUUUACUUGUCUACUAUACUAAUGUCUAAUAAUAUUAGUUUAUGAAAUUAAUGAAUAAUUUAAUAUGUUAUAUAUAUUUUACCCUUGCUAUAAAGACUAUUUAAUAAGGGUGAUUUGGUAAAAUGACUCUUAUCAUUUACUGCUUCUUAAUCAUUGAUCCAACUCAACUGUGAACGGUUAUUAAUGGUAAUCUUCAUUUCAAGUUAAUAGUGAACAAAUAUUAUUCGGUUAUGUAUCGUUUCAUAAAUCAUCUAGAAGAUGGCAAGAUGCAUUUUGUUCAUUACCAUUUGAUUUUGGCGGAAUACUUGAGAAGGUGGUGGUGACCACAUAGGUGUAGCUAGGUGGGGUUCGUCCGUUCGAACGAAUUCAAUAAUUUUUUCGUAGAUUUUAUAUUUGUACUAGAAAAUUAAUUAAAUAUAUAUGUAUAUUAACUUGUGAACCCCAACAAAAUUAAUUGACGACUCAAUGGUAAGGAAGGGACAAUACAAAUGCUCCUAAUCCCGACUCCACCUUUGAGUGACCACUUCAUAAAAAAUAAAAUAGAAUUUGAUUUAUUGACCUAGACUUUGGAGUUAAUAACUCUUUUUUCCAUGCGUUUACGACUCCUUUAUCUUUUUAUAUUGUUUAACUUGUAUUGAUUUGAUAUAUUCUUAAAAAGUUUUAAUUAGAGAUAUAUAAUAGUAAGCUAACAUUAUUACUGAAUUUUUGAACUCUAAAUUUAACUAUCACUAUUUUAAUGUAAUUAUUUAAUAUGAAAAAAAACAUACUCUUACUAUUUACUUUUACUUGUCAUAUUUCGCUUCACAAUAAUCAAUUUCAUGAACUCUUAAUUUGUAAAAAUAAAAUGGAGGGGGCAAGAUAUUAAGACACCUUGGAGUUGAGAAGUACUCUAUUAUUGAGCUAGCAUUGGAGUAUGGUCUAUAGACUUUUAACGUUGAAAAUAGGAGUAAUAAUAUAUUUAUAUUUUAAAAAAAAAUUAAAAAAAUGCAAAGUUCAAAAUGAACCACGAAAGGAGUAUUAAUUAAGAUACCUUAGGUGGGAUGACCAGAUUGGAGUGAUGAGUGGAUGACAAAAAAUGGAAAUUAAAUACUGUUAAAUCUUCAUUGAAGAGUUUGGCAACAAAUUAAUAGAAUGAGUUAUUGAAGCAAUACGUAGAAGAAAGGUAAUCAACCAAACAUAAACGUGCCUCCAAUAAAUGUCAUGCGAUGACUAAAAUUUAUCUUACUAAAGUAGGGUUAAUGACAAAAAUUAUUUCUCCUGAUCUAUAACUCGAAUUUAAAAUGUUUUUUUGAUCGAUUUUGAAACUUUAAAUUUUUUUAAAAAGUUAAGCAAAAACAAAAGAAAAUUCUAAAUCAAAUUCCAAAAGUCACACCACUAAAAAUUGCACUAACCUCAAAAAUAGACAAAAACUUAGCAAAAUGCCAAAAUUCAUUCGAUAAAUACUUCGGAUGAAAUGACAAUACUAACCAGGGCGGAGCUAUACUAAGCUAUGUUUAAGCGGAUAUCUUUCGUCAAAAAAUUACAUCGUAUAUAUAUAAGUAAAAUGAUAUUUUUAAAUGGUUAAAUAAGAUAUUUUAGACACCGUUAAAACAACAAAAUUUCUUAGCCCAUUGAUUUCAGAGACUCAACUAAAGAAAACGUAAAUAGAACGUUAGCAAUUUUUGUAUGGUCAUUUUAGAAAUAAUAAUUGUACUAUUUAGUGAAGAUCAUUUUCUUAUAAAAUAAGAAAUUAAUUAUAUAAAAAUAUAGAAACAUAAAAAAUAUAAAAAAGCGGUAUAACGGACGUGUGGUUCAAAGUUAGUUCGCUCAAUUGACCUCGCACCACAUAUAACAAAUUUUCGGUAUUACAUGGUUUUGAUACCAAAAGCUCAUUCGAUAUCUUCGAACACAAACCAAAUAUGCAAAUUAAACCAUUCAUAAAACCAUUUUACAUGUGCAAAUUAAUGGUUCUUAGUUCUUGAAACAGUGCAUUCAAAUCACUGUAAGAUGAUCCACCUUCUUCAACAGCCUUGUUCGCCAUUUUCUUGACUUCUUUUGCUCUCCUCCUCAUUUCCUUUGAUUCUUCCCCAACCAUUACACGCUUCACUGCCUUUGUAAUUGCUUCACUUUUCACAUUAUCCACCACUAUGCUCCAUUCCUCUGCCCCAACUGCUACUCCAAUUUUUAGUACUUUAGUUAUCAAUUGCUCAUUGAAGAAUUGCUCUGCAAACAUAGGCCAAGUCACCAAUGGAACCCCUGCUGAUACGCUUUCAAGCGUUGAAUUCCAUCCACAGUGAGUCACAAAAGCUCCUAUAGCCUUGUGAUCAAGAAUCAGCACUUGGGGUGCCCACCCUCUUAUGAUUAAUCCUUUUUCUUUUGUUCGUUCUUCGAAUCCUUCUGGAAUCUUGCCUUUCCUAACUACCCAUAUGAAUUCUUGCUCUGAAGCUUCAAGGCCUAAUGCAAUUUCUUCAAUUUGGGAAUCAGUAAAGUUAGACAUGCUCCCGAAACAAACAUAGAUUACUGAAUUUUGUUUCUUCGUGUCCAGCCAUUGCAAGCACUCAUGUUGUUUGUGGUCGACGCUUUUAUGGAAUUUUUCUUCGUUUUUUCUGUUGCAGAGCAAAAUGGGUCCAAUGUGCCAUGCUCUUUUACCCAAAACCUUUCUGUAAUAAUCAGCAUAAUCUGGUUCAAGCUCAUAGAAGCUAUUAACAAUGACCCCAAAACUUGUUGACUCGGAUUCCUUCACUUGUUCAAUAAACUUAGUCAUUUCUGUUUCUUCUCGAUCAUACGGAGCUAAUUUCAUCCUUGUGAGCUUUACCUUGUGAGGAAGAUUCGGGAGAACGAAAGGUUCAGUAUCUGAACACACAUUCUUCUGAGGCUUGUAGUGCCUAAGGUUCUCCGAAGCACAAAGCGCAAAGAAGCCCAUCCCAUGAAAUACCUGUAAAAUUAAACUUAACCUUUAAGUAUAAAUGACAACAGGGCGGGGAGCGUUAUGAUAAAUCAUGAAAUGUAGUAAUACCAAUCUUGGGAUAUGAAAUUUGGCAGCAGAUUCUGUAGCCCAGGGGAAGAACAUGUCAGCAACGAGAGCGUUGGGUUGACAUUCAUGGAGUAGUAGCUCUAGUUGUUCUUGAAGCAUGGUGGUGGCCUUGAAGAAUUUGGGGACCAAAUCAUAAGAAUUCAAUUGAUCCAUUCUUUCACAUCCUUCAGGCAAACCAGCUUCCACUGCUGGGAAUCUGAUGGCUUUGACAUAAAUUUCUAGCCCCAAAUGUUUGAUUUUUUCAAUCGACUGGAUGAAGAUGGGUAAGUUCAGAGGAGUGGUGAUAAUAGUUGCCUUUGCACCACGCGAAACGAACAGCUUAGCCAUGUCCAAAGUAGGAAUUAUGUGGCCGUGCGCCAUCAUUGGAAAGAAAAAUAUAUGGAGCUGGUCAUCAGCCAUUACAACUAUUUUCACAAACACUUGGUGUGCGCGGUGUUUUAAUACAUUGUUUAAAGGUUCUCUACAACAUGAAAGAACUCUCUUGAAUGAAAGAAGCUUAGCUAGAACACGGAAGAAACUGCGUACGUUGGCGUUAUCCAUUAUUUAGCAUUGAUUCAUUUUAAUGACACUUUCUUAAAUUAUGUGUAAACGCAAAAUAAGACUGACGUGCCGUUAAGAAUGACUCCCCAAUUAUCUUGUUAGAAAUUGAAAUUUUAUUCGACUCUACAAACAUGUUCAAUUCUAGUUGAGAUUCUACAAUAUUUGUUCGAUUCCAAUUAAGAUUCCUGAAUGCUAAACCAUAAAUCUUAGUUCAUGCCUAUAUAAAGGGUAUUUCAAGCCGUUUCAUCAAGUCUGCCCUCCGACAAGCCUUGAAGCAGGGCAUUUGUAGAAAUUGAAAAUUUUGUUGGACUCUACUUCAAUUCCUGUUGGAACUCUACAAUAUGUGUUCAAUUUCAAUUAGGAUUCUUGGAUGCCGAACCCUAAAUCCUAGUUCUUGCCUAUAUAAAGGUACUAUAUUCCCUUGAAAAGACAUCUCGAAUAUUCCAUAAAAGUAAUGAAAUAUUCAUGUAGAGGUCAAAUCUAAAUCAUUCUAGUUCGAGAAAUACGCCACUAACAGAAAUCUUAGGAGAGUAUAAUAAAGGGAGCAACAUAAUUGUACCCUUGGACAAUUGACACUGUAGCUAAAUUUAACAUUCUACGAAUGGCUAUUCAUGGCACGAGCUUCUUUGAUCGAAUUGAGGAAGAGAAAAAUAUGCCCCGGGAUUGAAUGGAUGGAAUUCGACACUAGAAAGAAUAUCAACAAGGGUGUCAAGAUGUGGUUUUGAACUUCACUUUGCAUCAUGGGGUUGCAAGUUUGAAACUAGUUAUUACCUUAAUAGGAUUCAAACCCCAUGCCCCCACCUUAGAGGUGUUCAACGCUUAAACCAACCCACCCAAACAAUUUUAGUGUAAUUGAUCGCGUAAUAAAAUAUAUGUACAUAGUUCGUCAAGUGAUUAACAAUUUAUCCCUACUAGAAUGAUGAUAUUAAUGGUUGCUUAUUUUACUUUAUUGAAAGAUCAAAUCUCUUUUCUACUGUAGAGAUUAUUUCGUCUUAAUGGACUAUCUUGCAUGAUUCUUAAAUCUUGGUCCUUCACUUAAUAAGGCAAUUAGCACCUUUAGCAUGACUUUGUGUGUCUUCACCCGAAUUAGAAUUUUCACACUGAGGUUUAAAAUAUUAAAAAAAUUUAAAACAUAAAAAACUAAGGAGAUUCAACAUCUAAUUUGGAGGAGUAAAAAGCAACUUUCGAUUCAAAUUAGAGAAAUAUUGAACUUUAUCUGCAUUACUGGUCGAUGAUCUGAUUUUGAAAGAAGUCGUUAUCCUUCCACCCACUUGGUUAGGCCCCUAAGUCCAUAGCCCAAGGGAGGCUCUACAGCUUUGAAAAAAAAGAAAUUGUCUUGGGCCCCAAAAUUUGAGCGGCCUCAUUUUCUUUUUUUAAAAAAAACAUGUUAUAAGUACUUUCUUUAAAAAAUAUCGAGUAUUACUUGUAGAAAAUAAAAACUUUUCAUAAAAGAGCAAAGAAGUAAUAGAAGUUCAACAAAUUAUGAAUACUAUGUCUUGAGAAAAAUUAAAUAAUUGGCUAUAAUAAACUUCAUAAAAAAUAUAUGUUCGAAUUUAAGGCCUCCAUUGAGAUUUGGCUUUAGGCCACCGAUUUAUUAGAGCCGCCGGGCAUAGCCCCAUUUUGGUUGAUUGCAUAUGACUAUUCAAUGUACUAUUUUCCCCAAGAAAUGUGCGUCUCAUAUUUUGCUUUGAAAAUGGUAAGUCAAAAACUAGUUUCCAAUCGCCUAAGACAAGACUUGAAAGCUACUAACGAGCUUUACUUUGCUAUCUAGUUUCUUAUGCAACAGCUUUGUUUCUUCCAAGUUUUAGCAUAUGGAUCAGCUCCAUUUUUUCUUCUUUCCCCUGAUGGCUCAUGGCCACAUGAUUCCAACACUUGACAUGGCAAAGCUCGUGGUUUCUCGUGGUGUUAAGGCCACCAUAAUCACCACUCCUCUCAAUCAAUCUGUUUUCUCUAAAGCUAUUCAAAGAAACAAGCAAGAAGGAAAUGAAAUAGACAUCCGUUUGAUCAAAUUCCAAGCUGUUGAAAAUGGCUUGCCUGAAGGAUGUGAGCGUCUUGAUCUCGUCCCUACUGAUGAAUUGUUAAACAACUUCACCAUGGCUACAAUUAUGAUGAAAGAACCAUUCGAGCAGCUUCUUCAAGAAUGCCGCCCCAGCUGUCUUGUUUCUGAUAUGUUCCUUCCUUGGACAUAUGAUAGUGCAGCAAAAUUUAACAUUCCAAGAUUGGUUUUUCAUGGGACAAGCUACUUUGCACUUUGUGUCACUGAUAGUGUCACGCGUUAUAAGCCUUUCAUGAAUGUAUCCUCUGAUUCUGAUGCUUUUGUUAUACCGAAUUUGCCUCACCAAAUCAAGCUGACCAGAACACAACUGACCCCAUUCGAUCGAAUUGAGGAAGAGAAAGAUAUGUCCCCGAUGAUAAAAGAACUCAGGGAGUCCGGUUUAAAGGGCUACGGAGUUGUCUUCAAUAGCUUCUAUGAGCUCGAACCAGAUUAUGUUGAAUAUUACGCCAAUGUUCUGAGUAGAAAAACCUGGGCUAUUGGCCCACUCUCGUUGUGUAACAGGGACAUUGAAGAUAAAGCUGAAAGAGGGAAGAACUCCUCUAUCGAUAAGCAUGAGUGCAUGAAAUGGCUUGAUUCAAAGAAAUCCAGUUCCAUCGUUUACGUAUGUUUUGGGAGUGUUGCCAUUUUCACUGCUUCACAAAUGGAAGAGCUUGCUAUGGGAAUUGAAGCUUCUGGACAAGAAUUCAUUUGGGUUGUAAGACCAGAUAACGAAGAGUGUCUGCCUGAAGGAUUCGAGGAAAGAACAAAAGAAAAAGGCCUAAUAAUAAGAGGAUGGGCACCCCAACUGCUAAUUCUUGAUCACGAAGCUGUGGGAGCUUUUGUCACUCAUUGUGGUUGGAAUUCGACCCUUGAAGGAAUAUCAGCUGGGUUGCCAAUGGUCACAUGGCCCGUGUUUGGAGAGCAAUUCUACAACGAAAAGUUGGUGAUUGAGGUUUUGAGAACUGGGGUUGGCGUUGGUUCAGUACAAUGGAAGAGAAUAGAUAGCGAGGGAGUGAAAAGAGAAGCAAUAACCGAGGCAAUAAAGAAAGUCAUUGUGGGUGAAGAAGCAGAGCUAAAGCGUACACGAAAAUGGCAAGGCAGGCAGUUGAAGCAGGAGGCUCAUCUUACACUGGUUUGACUGAUUUACUGCAAGAUAUAAGUGCAUUUAGUUCCACAAGUAACUAAGUAAACCAUUUAUUCCUAUAACUCCACUACUAUAUGUCUAAAAAAAGAUGAGAGCAAAUAAAGAUAACAUGUGAGAAGUCUUACGUGUUACAUAUAUUUAUAUUAAGUGUAAAACAAGUAGAAAUAUCUUCACACCAUAAAAUCUAAUUUUGCCAUUGCACAAUAAACUCAGCAAUGGAGUCUCGAGUGGUCAAACUCUUGAGUUUCCUUACAAAUUGUAUUGCAUUACGUAGAAUAUCGUUUAGGUUCUCAUACUACGACAAGUUUGAGAACUAACCAAUGGUAGUGUCGGGCACCUGGGUACUAUCCAUAUGGGGGACCCGCCUUUUAUCAAAUGUUUGCUACACAGAGAGUUUAGACUCUGUACCACCUUUCUUGGAUUUCGAGCUCACAAGCAUCACGUUUAUACUUACCAGCAGGUACUUGGGCAAUAUAAUCCCUUGCUUCCCCUUCUCCCAAUGAUGCCACACUUGGUACAGUAGGAAGCCAAGGACAAAAGAAUGGAGGAGUACAUAUAUAUUAUAAUACAGCAGCAUCAUGGCUUGACAUGAACAGACAAUUUUCGCACUGGAACCCACGUGUCAGUGGGUAUUGUCAGUAGUGCGUUUUAUUUGCAGAGCAGCUCUAACAACAUUGCCCCUUGUGAUAAUCCCAACCUUCAC
This 71540-nucleotide long non-coding RNA is filed under the name Solanum tuberosum (potato). Its description in RNAcentral is "long non-coding RNA (STUB_LNC002420)". Lineage: Eukaryota; Viridiplantae; Streptophyta; Magnoliopsida; Solanales; Solanaceae. The record is from RNAcentral.